UUGAAGUAGUUCAACACAUUGUUGUACUUAGAACAGAUUGUGGCACUAUCCGAGGUAUUUCUGUGAGUCCUCGAAAUGGGAUGAUACCGGAAAGAAUUUUUAUUCAAACAUUAAUUGGUCGUGUAUUAGCAGACGAUAUAUAUAUGGGCCCACGAUGCAUCGCCAUUCGAAAUCAAGAUAUUGGGAUUGGGCUUGUCAAUGAUUCAUAACCUUUCAAGCACAGACAAUAUUGAUUCGACCCCUUUACUUGUAGAGCACAUCUGAUCUCUCGACNNNNNNNNNNNNNNNNNNNNNNNNNNNNNNNNNNNNNNNNNNNNNNNNNNNNNNNNNNNNNNNNNNNNNNNNNNNNNNNNNNNNNNNNNNNNNNNNNNNNAAACGCUCUUUAAUGGAACUUUAGCUUUAGCUGGUCGUGACCAAGAAACCACCAGUUUCGCUUGGUGGGCCGGGAAAUGCGUAGAGAUCGGAAAGAACACCAAUAGCGAAAGCACUCUACUAGGCCGACACUGACACUGAGAGACGAAAGCUAGGGGAGCGAAUGGGAUUAGAUACCCCAGUAGUCCUAGCCGUAAACGAUGGAUACUAGGCAUUAUGCGUAUCGACCCGUGCGAAAUCAAGAAGAAAAAGAAUCUGCAAGACAAGUAGAUCUUGGAUCAAAUGUACAAAACCAAGGAAAUCUUGAAUCAGUCCUCUCAAACCACGAAAAAGAUAUUGAAGAAGAUUAUGCAGGAUAAGAUGUUGGGGAUAAAUGUAUGCCCAAGAUCCAAUCUAUCAUGUAAUCAACUUUAGUUUUAAUAAGGUAUUAAUUCUUUAUUUCAUUAUCAUAUUUGUUUAAAAUAGUUUAUAUGAUAAGGUCCUUGAUUAAAAUUUGAAAAUUGUUAUCAUGAUAGAGAUUAUGAUAAUGAGAAGCAAUUCUUUUAAUAAUUUUAAUCUAAACUGUUCUUGAUCAUAGGAUUAUUGUCAACAGGACAUCAAUAAUCCAGAUAGAUCAAUAUAUAUGUGAUGGUCUUUAUUGGAUAAAGAUUGAUAUAUCUCAUUUGUUAAAUUACAUAUAUAGAUGAUGCACAUGUAGAUGUGAUCAUUGAACUGACUCAACUGAGAAUUUCUAAUGGUUAUCUUUACCUUAAAUUGUCAAUAGGAAUUUCUCAAGAAGAAAUAUAAUAGUUUUCUUUGACCUGAGAUUAUCAAAGUAAUUAACAAGUUAUUUAUUAUAUUUUAAUCUCGGACACCUAAUGCCUUAGGGCACUAGUUGAAUGGAUAUUGGAUAUAAUUAAAUACUUGUAGAAUUAAUGAUUAAUCAAGAAGGAAUCCAUCAACUCGUGGUAAUGAGUUUGAGCUCUAUGAUAAAAAUAAGACCUUGGCCAAGGGCAAUUGAAUGAAUGAAGAAAUGAGUUUCUUAAGUCAUUCACUAAAUAAAUAAUGUGUUGACUUAUUAGAGUUUGACAGUAAUACCAUACUCUAGAGUUAGCCCAGAGCUGUAAAUGAUGGAAGGAAAUAUUACAUUAUUCUUCUACCGGUUCUUGAAAGUAAAAGAUAUUACUUCAUACUAUCUGGACGUUAAGGAGUGUUGCUAGACACCUACCUUAAUUAGUAAAUUGAUUUGAUUAAUUUACUACCAGCUUAGUAAUGAACCUACGGGGUCACACACAAACGAGUGUUUUAAUCUUUGCAAAGAACUAUUUAUUAUUAUUUGAUAAUUAAAUUAGAGAAUUUAAUUUUAAUCAAAUAAAUAAAUAUGUUCUAUGUGGAAUAUUAUUAUAUUCUUUGCUAGCACCAAGAAUAUAAUUAAUAUAUAUAAAAAAAAUAAAUAAAUAAAUAAAAUAUUUUUCUUUGGACGUGGAAGUUAGUCCACGAGAAUGUUUGCUAAACAUUUGCAAACAUAUGGGUACAUGCAGCAACUUACAGGAGGGAUGUGGGUUUUGUUUUUAACUUACAAGACUUGGUCAAAGUGUUUUUCAAAUGCUAUUGAAAAUAGCAAAAGAAAAAACAAAUGGACCAAUAGAAUCUCUUAGUAGCCCAAAAAAGGAGGACACGAUAGAGAUAGAUUAAGUGAUAAAAUCAAAAAUCAAAUUAGUUGAGUUAUCUUAUCACUUAAAACAGAAGUUGUAUCGGAUAUGCUAUAUAGCAUAUAUACACAAUCUGAAUAAGGAUCGAUCUAUCUUUAUCCUCCUUGUUUUUACGCCAAAGAAAUACAAAGUGUUGUUCUAUUUUUUUUAAGUUCCGCGUAUCAAAGGGUUGAUAGCAAAGAUUAAUUUCGGUGUGGAUACACGUAGAGUCUUCAUACAAUUGGAGAAAAUUUUAUGCUUGAAGAACUGAUAUCCAGGUUAUUAUUUUAAAUUUUUUGAUAGCUGCAGUAUAUAUUUUGAAUGCAAAAUAGAUCAAUUUUCCGCUGUAUGUGUUAUAAAUUUAUUUUAUAACCUUUCAUCAGACUCAGACAUGCAAAAACGUACAAAGAAAAAAGCAAUUCAAGAAUCACACGGAAGCAGAACUCGAUUUAUUCCUAAAAAGAUAUUUGAUUUUUCAAUUGAGAUGGGAUGAUUCUUUAAAUAAAAAAAUGAUCAAUAAUAUCAAGGUAUAUUGUCUCUUGCUUAGACUGAUAAAUCCAAGAGAAAUUUGUAUAUCAGUUAUCAAAUUGUAAAUUCACAAAUAAAUUAUGAUCUUAUAAUAGGUAUAAAGUCAUCAAUAAAAUUUUUAAAGUUACAAAAUUUUGAAAAAUGUCAUGAUUUAUCAUUAUGUCAAUAAAAGGAUGAAAGUGCAUCAUAAUUUCAACACUUUUUUUUUAUUUGUUGGAAGAUAGUCUUUCUAUUUUCCCUUUUUCUUUCAAGAGUUCUAAUUUUCUAGCACAAGACUAGAAGGACAUGCAUGUGAGCUUGCCGAGAGUUUUGCACUUGUGAAAUCAAAUUGGGUUAAAUAUAUAUAUAUAUAUAUAUAUAUAUAUAUAUAUAUAUAUAUAUAUAUAUAUAUAUUAUUUUUUGUUUCUAAUUAAAUGCAUGCAUCCACAUACGAAAGAUCCAUGUGUAGUUAUUUUUAGGGAUUUAUUUCAUGUUUUCUCUAAAUCUAACCCAAUAACAUAUGCACAAUAGAGAAAAGGUAUUCUUGAAUAUACUCCCUCUUUCUCUCUCCGGUAGAGAGAGUUGUGAAAGUAUUUAACGUCAUCCUUAAAGAGAAAUUAAACAUAUGAAAACUAUUUAAUAUAAGGUUUUAAUUGUUAUAUCUAUUAAAGUUGUUCAUCCAAAUUAUUCAAAGUACGUAUCUCUAUGGACUUGCAUGUUCACAAAUUUUGAAAGGUUUAUACGACAAAUUAUAAGUAUUUAAAAUAAAUGUUGUGAUGUUUGAUAAAAUACACUAUUGGGUUUUACAUAUUCAAACAAUCAAUGAUCACCACAACCAAGGAAAAAUGUGUUCAUAAUUUAAACUUGAUCUUUUUAUUUUUGUAGCAUGAAUUAUUCAGAAUCCACAAGGUCACACGACAUCAAGAGUGAAAAUAAUACACAACAUUCUUGCACACAAUUAAUUGAUGCAUGUUAUUUAUUUUUUAUUCAUUAUAUAUGUGUACAAAACAUACACAAACAUUACGGAAAGAUGAAAAAAUUACAGAAGCAAACAUGAGCUGCAACUCAGUUUAUUCCCAUGAUUUUAUGACAUAUGAUAGUUAUACUUGGUGCAAAUGACUAGUAAGAAUUUCUGAAAUCUGGUAGUGGCCAUGGUGAAGCUUCAUUUGUGCUUAGUAGCCAUGACAACCGGAGAGGUGGAGGGUGGGCUUGGCCGAGGGGGAGGCAGGGCGUGGCUUGCAAAGUUCUUGUUGAUCAUGCAAGGGGGGCCUUUGCCGGGAAUUCGGGUGCAUGGACUUGGGGCAGAAGGAGAAACUGGACCCGCCUGCAGAGACUGCAAGACAAUAUUAAUUCUUUUCUUCUUCCACUCUUUUUUCUCUCCAUUAGGAACCCUACUAGCAUGGUGUGGUUGGACACUCAGAAGAAAAACAACUGCAGUGACAGCUAAAACAGUGGUGAGAGACCUCAUGAUCUUGGUGGGGUUUAAGGUAAGACACUAGGAGAUAUGGAAUUAAUAUGAUAUCUGGGAUGAUAUGCAUAUGUGGAGGAGAUCAUAUUAAUUGCUAUUUAUAAGCAUAUGCAAAUGAUACCCAAUGUUAUAACUUUGAUUUUCCAUUGUUUCAUUUGUGUGAAAGGGUUUUUUUAGCUCUCGGAUACAAGGGUUUUGCCACGGCAUAGACUAGAAAUUGAGAAGGUCAUAAAGAUACUAGGUUUGAAUUACAUACAAUGACAAAGUUUUCAUAGGUCAUUAAUUGUAAGCAUCCGCCAUCCCAAAAAUUAAUUAAUUAAUUAAUUAAAAAAUUUACUGUUAUUAAAUACAAUGAUAAUUAUGAUCUUUGUAAAAAUAAAAAUAAAAAUCAAUUAAAUAAAAAAUAUCUACUUCCCACUUCAAAAUACAAUGGAUUGUUAUGUCUGUGAAUUGUUGCUUCUUCAAAAUACAAUGGAUGAUAUUGAAAUAUUUAAAAGCAUGACUUCAAUAAUUUAGCUUAUUAAUUAACCUGUAACAUCAUACUUUUGCAUGAUGUUGCCCCACCGAAUAAUUUAGCAGCAUGACGGCCACCAAAAUCAUUUCCUAACAAAUAUUUUCCAAAUUAAGUUAGAAUUGGUCUCAUGCAAACUGUCGCAUUUAAAAAGUUUCACGGUUUGUAUACCACUUUUCUGACUGACGAUUAGUGGAUUACUUCCUUUGUGGGGCACUAAGUUUGAUCAAAGAAUAGGUUUAUGGUGGGAACGGAUUUUUUUAGUGAAUUGGGGCUUGAAUGUUUGUUGGUUUGGUCGUGAUGCUCACAGCCUUUACGUGACAUCCUCCUCAACAAUCAAAGGUUUGAAUAUGACUGAUGACUCUAUUCACAUGCAUCAGCUUUUUUAUGCAUUAUCACGAUCCAAGAGCAGAGGCCCUUUCCAAAUUUCCAAAUUGUGUAUUUGUGUGCAUGCUUGUUAUGAAGGCCCAGCGUCUACAUUUAUGAAUAUAUAUAUAUAUAUAUAUAUAUACUUUUCCAUAUACCAUUUUUGCAGCACCCCAAAGCUGCUUAUUCUUCACAUCUUCCCCGCUCUCUAUUCAUAUAAAACGAUCCAUUCAUUUCUUUUCGAAGAUGGGUUUCACUUCUAGGAAAUUAGUCCUCUUGGUGGUGCUUUUCAAUUUCACGCUUCUCUCAGCUUGGAGUUUCCGAGAACUUGAAGUAAUGCGGCUACUAGGAGGAGGGCAAUGGGCGAAGAGAAACAGUCUUGUGCUUCAGUCUCUGCAGAAAGGUCCAGUGCUGCCAUCCGGUCCCAGUCCUUGUAAUCACAUCCCAGAACAAAGGGCAGGGCGAUGCACCUUCAAUGAAAAGAAUAUAGCUGACGACAUUGCAACUGCACCUCCAGCCGUUUCCGCGUACAUGCUAGCAGAGGAUGCUGCCAUGGCUUCCCUUGCUAAGGAUGGCUAUGACCAAGAUCACAGCUCUUAAUGAUGUAAUCAUAUUUGUGCAUGGAUCAGCUGAUGAGUUAGAUGUGGAAGAUAGACCCCAAUCCUUAUGAUUAGUAUAUAUAUUUUAUCUCUAACCUUAAUUCAAUUCAUAUACUUGGUUUAGAAAGAAUAACCAAUUCAACUGGUUAGAUAAGAUGCCAUGUAAACUGAGUUUAGUGCUUGAUAAUGCAAUCAUAUUUUGUAUUGAAAAUAUUGAUCUUUAUUUCGGUCCUAAAAACCAUGACAGGAGGGAUAAAAAAAACACCAAAAACAGGAAACCAAGAGGAGGAUCAAUAAAUUUUGAUCAACCUUAUUUAGCAGAAACAGACGAGCGUAAAUGUUGGAAGUAACCCAAAUUGCCUGUGCAAAGGUAUAUGAAUUCGUACACAUAAUCAGGUGCCACGAAGUUGGAUGAAACGCUUGAGUGGGGUUUCCUAUUCCAUGCAUGAAUGCAAAACUAAGAAACAUGAUGAAGAUGGUAAAUCAGCUACCAAAGAUAUGUAUGCCCAUAUGAUUUCCAUCUUAUUCAUUUUUUCUCAUUCAUCUUUGUAGAUAGCGUAAAAAACUUCAGAAGGGUACCACAAGUAAAUAGUGAUAAUGAUUGUUUCUUUCUUGUUCUAACAAACACAAACUUGAUCACAAGAAUGAAAAAAUACAGGACCUGCAAAUCAGUUCACUCCUAUGGUCUCACUAGAAUUAAUUAGAAGUAUAUUUUGGUGCUAGAGAAUUGUAAGAAUUUCUGAUUUUGGUGGCUCCCAUGGAGGAGCGAGCUUCAUUCAUCUAUAUAUGUUUACUGUCCAGUAGCCAUGACAACCGCCGGGGGAGGCAUGGCAUGACCUGCAAAUUUAUUCCGUUAUGGCAAGGUGGAGCGCCCUUUUCUGGGAUACGGCUGCAUGAACUGCUUCCAGAAGGAGGCACAGUACCUGAAUUCAGAGACUGUAAAGAGACAAGUCCUAUCUUGAUCCACUCUUCUUUCUCCCCAUCAAGAACCCUACCAGCACUGUGUGGCUGGACGCUCAGAACAAGAACGAAGUGUCAUGACAGCUAAAACAAUGUCCAGAAACCUCAUGAUCUUGGCGGGUUAAGCAAAGAGGAGAUGAUCAAAGAAAUAUUUUUAGCUGGACAAAUUAAUAUGCAUAUAUGAUAAAUGGAAAAGAAUCAAUAUCUCGGUUAUUUAUAGGGUUAUUCGAUUAAAAGGGUUUUUGAUAAAAAUACUCUAAUUAUUUUCUUGUAAAAAUAACUUUCUUUUAAAACAGGUUACUUUAAAUAAUUGAAAUGGUAGAAGGCAUUUACGUAAAAUAAUAAUAAUAAUAAUAACAGGUUACUUUUAAAAAUAAAAACAAAAACAUGGAAAUGGUUAAAUUCACGAUUUAAAAAUUAUUUCAAUGCUUAACUAAACAAGUGGCUCUAAAUGCCUAAGUGAGAAAAUGGCUUUGAAUGCCUAAGUGAGAAAGUGGCUUUGAACGCAUAACUGAGAAUGUGCCUCUAAACACCUAAUUGAGAAAGUGGCUUUGAACACCUAAUUAAGAAAGUUACUCUAAACGCCUAACUGAGAAAGUGGCUAUGAACGCCUCAGUGAGAAAGUGACCCUAAAUGCCUAAUUGAGAAAGUCGCUUUCAACGCCUAACUGAGAAAGUGACUUUGAACGCCUAAGUGAGAAAGUGGUGCUGAAGGCCAAACUAAGAUGGUUGCUUUGAACACCUAACUCAACAAGUGGAUCUAAACACCUAAGCGAGAAAGUGGCUAUGAACGCCUAACUGAGAAUGUGCCUAUGAAUGCCUAAUUGAGAAUAUGCCUCUAAACUCCUAACUGAGAAAGUUGCACUAAACGCCUAAUAGAGAAAGUGGGUAAGAACGACAAAGUGAGAAUGUUGUUCUAAACUUCUAAUUGAGAAAGUGGCUCAGAACGCUUAACUAAGAAAGUCACUCUGAACGCCUAAGUGAGAAAGUGGUUGUGAAUGCCAAAGUGAGAAAAUGGCUCUGAACACCUAAUUGAGCAAGUGACUCUUAACUCCUAAGUGAGAAAGUGACUCUAAAUGCCUAGUUGAGAAAGUGGCCUUGAAUGUGUAACUGAGAAAGUCACUCUAAACAUCUAACUAAGAAAGUCGCUAUAAAGGCCUAAGUGAGAAAAUGGCUCUCAACGCCUAACUGAGAAAGUGGCUCUCAACGCCUAAGUGAGAAAGUGUUUUUGAUCACUAAGGUGAGAUACUGGCUCUGAAUGCCUAAUUGAGCAAGUGGCUCUGAACGCCUAACUAAGAAAGUGAUGAUGAAUGCCUAAAUAAGAAAGUGGUUCUUAAGGCCAAAAUAAGUCACUGGCUUUGAACGCCUAAUUGAGCAAGUGGUUGUGAAUGACUAAAUGAGAUAGUGGUUGUGAGCUCCUAAGUGAGAAAGUGUCUGAAUGCCUAAUUGAGAAAGUGGCUCUAAAUGCCUAUAUAAGAAAGUUGUUGUGAAGGCCAAAGUGGGAAAAUGGCUUUGAACGCCUAACUAGACUAGUGGCUUUGAACGCCUAAUUGAGCUAGUGGCUCUAAACAUCUAAGUGAGAAAAUGGGUAUAAAUGCCUAAGUGAGAAAGUGCCCUUGAACACCUAACCAAGAAUGUGCAUUUGAAUGCCUAAUUGAAAAAGUCGCUCUCAAUGCCUAAUUGACAAAGUGGCUUUAAACACCUAAUUGAGAAAGUGGUUCUGACCGCCUAACUGAGAAAGUCGCUCUGGAUGCCUAACUAAGAAAGGGGUUUUGAACGCCUAAGUGAGAAAGUGGUUGUGAAACAAAAGUGAGAAAGUGGUUUUGAAGGCCUAACUAUGCAAGUGGCUUUGAACGCCUAAGUGCAUGAGAAAGUGGCUCUAAACGGCUAAGUGAGAAAGUGGCUCUAAACACCUAAUUGAGAAUGUGCCUCUAAACGCCUUACUAAGAAUGUGCCUCUGAACGCCUAACUGAGAAUGUGCCUCCAAAUGCCUAAAUGAGCAAGUGGCUCUGAACGCCUAAGUGAGAAAGUGGCUCUAAAGGCCUAAAUGAGAAAGUGGCUCAGGAUGCCUAAUUGAGAAUGUGCUUCUAAAUGCCUAAUUGAGAGAGUCGCUAUGAACUUCUAAGUAAGAAGUGGUUGUGAAGCCAAAGUGAGAAUAUGGCUCUAAAUGCCUCAUUGAGAAAGGGGCUUAGAACACCUAAUAGCGUUUUUUUUUUAAAUUAAUGCCUGAUGCGACUCAUGGUAGCUUAGCUUUAAAGGCGUAUCAACAAAAUUUAUACCUUAAAUACUAUUACUAAAGUAGCCAAGCUACUAUAGCAUAGUGGUUCUAGGAUCGUUCACUGGGAAAGGUUUUCGCAAACACAAGUGAUAUUCAAAUUAGGAAAAUAGGUGAUUUUCUUAUGGAUGUUAGCUUUAAAAGAAGAUGUAAAUGUUUUAAAAAGAUUUAAACUAAUCUAAGCUAACAUUAAAGACUAAAAUGAAAGGGUGUAAAAACAAGUUUCUCAAAGAUAGGAUAGCUAUGCUCUGGCUCUUAUGCAAAUUGGAAAUCUCAGGAUAGGCUCCUCGCGUUGGGGUUGCAACUAUGGUGAUGCUUGCUUCCCGAACCGGUAUGGAUUUAGCAAAUCAAGUUUUAAUCCUUUAAAAUGGCAAAAAAGAUGGUAGUGAAUUUUAUCAAUGGUUAUUCACCUUAGACUUCCUUUGAAUGGCUCGUAAGAGAUAACUCAUGGUCUAAAGCCAAAAGCUUACCAAAUAUUGGCAACUCAAAGUCAUUCCAGGUGAUAAACUCACCUUUCAAUGGCCAUUGAAAUUGGUUCUAACGGAUUAAUGCAAAACUUGGAAUUGAAAACCUCACCUUCCAAUAGCUCGUAGGAGAUAACUAAUGGAUAGAAAUCCAAAAGCUUAUCAAGUAUUGGCCGUUGGAAGUUGUUCAAAGGAAAUAAAAACCAAACUUUGCAUUAAUGAACCAUUAAUGAAAAACGACUACCUUACCUUCCAGGUGUGAGAAAUUUCCAUGGGAUUGCAUCCAAGCCAUCACAUAACAUCCAUACUUUGAGAAACUAAAAGUUUUAGCCAAUCAUCCUCUAAGGAAAAGCCCUCAGAGGCUGUUUGGCUACUAAGAAAAUAGAAAUGGAGAAGAACAGGAGAAGAGAGAAAAACAAAGCUUUAUAUAUCUCUAAGUUAAUGUACAGAGGAUCGAUCCCCAAACAUCCCAUUCUUCUGUUGGAGGUGUUGUGCACCUCUAUAUAUAGCAAAAUUACAAGAUAAAGCUUUAUGUCGGCUGAAUACAAGGUUACAAAAGGAAUUUACAUGAGAAAAUAUCAAGCUAAAAAUAUUUGGGAAGUCGGUGGUGCGUGCGUGGAGAAACAGAGGAUUCAAAGGAAUUUCGCAAUGUAAAAGGCACAUUGCGAAAUUUUCGCAAGGUGAAUUACUCAUGAUGCGAAGUGCCAUAUUUUCGCAUCAUGAGUUAAUUCACCUUGCGAAAUUUUCGCAAUGUGAAAUUCACAUUGCGAAAUGGCAAAAUUUCGCACCAUGAAGAAAAUCUCCUUGCGAAAUUUUCGCAAUGUGAAAUUCACCUUGCGAAAUUGGUCAUUUGGCAUGAUGCAGUUGCCUUCCGAAGGCCAUAUCUUCCUCAUUUCAGCUCCAAAUCAUACACGGUUUGAAGCGUUGGAUUCUUGACUUCCUAAGCUUUCAAAUGGUAUAUAGCAUGUAGAAAAUGGACUUCGGGAAGUGCUCCAAAAGUGUGAAAGAAGACUGCAGCUGUUUUCUUCACUCUGUUUUCCUCUUCUCCAUUGCUUGUGCUCGUGUUUCCACUUGAAAUUCAAGCCUGUAAUCAUCCAAAAUCCUUGCUUAACUCGCCCAAAUAGCUCCUCCAUCAAUUGGCAUGCUUGAAUUGGUUCAUAAGCUGAUAAAAACAUGUAAACUUGCCACAAAAAUGGUUAAAACCAAUUACUAAGGACCUUAAUGAAUUAAUUGGGUUAAAUGAAUAUGAUUACUACUCAAAGGUGCUUAAAACCAUUAUUAUUAGGUCUACAAAAUAGCACUUUUUGGUAGUAAUCAAUGCCAAAGUGAGAAGGGUUUCUUUGACUGUUGACGACAUACUAAUAGCGUUUUGCUUUGGGAGAUUGAAAAUUGAAGUAGUGGUCUUAAAGAAGAAACUACGUCUAAAAUUAUCAGAUUACUGUACACAUGGGCAUGCAUCUUAUGACCUUUUUGAACAUAAAAAAUUAUAUAUAUAUAUAUAUAUAUAUGUGUGUGUGUGUGUGUGUGUGUGUGUGUGUGUGCGCGCACGCGCGCUCAUGAAAAGGAAAAUGGUUUUGAUGUUAAGUUGAAGAGUUGUCUUGGUUGUCCUUAAUCAUCAUUUCCUUGAGGAGGGUUCACCAUUCAGCAAGCUGGCUAAACCUAUUAGGAGUCACUCAUUAGUCGGCAUGUUUAAUUUUCUCCCUAUUGAAUUAGGUGCGCAUACUAGUUGGUAUAAGUCAUUUAAUAAAAAAAAAUUAAGAAUAUUUACAAACUAGGUUAGCGUUAAAUAAGAGUACACUGUCUGAUCUAGGCAUUUUGGAGAUUCUUUCUUAUAACUUGAACUUCCUUAAGGGGGAAUUAGUUUUGAAAAAUCAAUGAAGUUAUGAAUGAAGUGUUAAACACAAGCUCAAGGCUAUAUUUGGUUUUCAAAAUUUUUGAAGGAAAAUAUGAUGGGAAGAAAAUAAAAAUGAUAGAAAUAAAAUGAAUAAAUAAAUGAAAGAAAAUAAAAAAUAAAUUUAAAAUUUAUAAGUUAUUAUUAUACAUGCAUUAUUUAAAAUUUAUUUUACUUAUUUUAAUAUUAAAUAAUUUUAAAAUAUAUAAAUUUCUAACCAAUUUUAAUUACAUGUGGUUCUCUUUCAUAUUUUUCAUAUAAAAAAACCGAACAUGAUAAAAUUAUUUUCCUAAUCAUUUUCUUUCUUUCCUUGAUACUUAGACAAUUUUGAAUUUCUCAAAAUUCUAAUAUUUUUUUUUGGGGAUAUUAGACUUCUAAAUUCUUUUAAAAGAAUAUAUUCUUUAAAGAAUUAACCAUCUAAGUCUAUCUAUCCUUUGGACCAUAAUAUCCUAGUACAAAAAUUUCAAACAAAUUGAUUGAAAAUAGAGAGUAGCUUAGGUAUUUUUGAACCACCUGUGUUUCUUGAAGUUUUUUUGUCUUGGCUAGAUCUUGACCCCUUGUUAAUUUUACAUGUUAAUACACUGAAAAUAGAACCAAAUAGUAAAAUUCCACUUGAUUUUGAAUCUGUUUGCGUUAGGAAAGAAUUUGGUGAUAACACUCACCAUACUGCAACAACCUCAAGUCACAACAACUUACCUGCAAUAGAAAAAAUGGCUACACCAGAAGAAUCUUCAAGACUAUUGUAAAAUCACAUAACUGAUAUUCCAUUCAAGAAUCUAUUACAAUAGGUGUAUAAAUACUAUACAUGAAAAAACACAAUAAUGCAAGAGAAUAAGAAAUUCCUUUAUUUGGAAAAUAUCAAUGGGUUUCAAUACUACGUGCUAAGAUAGUUUUAGAUUCCCAAAAUAUUAGUGUAUAUUAUUUGGGUCUGUUAUGGGUUUAUAAUUAAUUUUAAAUUUUAUUGACUUUAUCAUAGAAUAAAUCUUGAUUCUUGUACACUAAAGCAUGCAUCUUAUGACCUUUAAAACAUAAGAAAUUAUAAUUAAAAAAAAUGAAAAUGAUUUUAAUGUUAAGUUGCAGGGUUGCCUUGCUUGUCCUUAAUCAUAAUUUUCUUGAGGAGGAUUUACCAUUAAUCUAACAUUAAUUUGUUCACACGAAAUUAAACAAGGUGGUGAAAGCUAUUAUCUACUAGUAAGAGUUCCGAAUGUCAUCAAAUUAGGUGCAUAGAAUAUAUAGUUGGUAAAAGUCAUUUAAUAAAGAAAAAAAAUUGAAAAACCACUUCCAAAUUAGGUCAGCGUUAAAUAAGAUUCGACCCCCUAAUCGUGGAAUGAACUUUGGAGCGUCUUUCUUAUAACUUAGAACUUCCUUUUGGGGGCACACAUUGGUUUCCAAAAGUGAAUGAAGUUCUAGAAGGAGUGUUAUUACAACCAUAGAAAGGGACAUAAAAGAAGAAAUUAUGAAGAAUUGAUCAAAACACCAAGUAGUAAGAAAAAAUCUUAAAUUCCAAUAAACUUCAAAUUUUACUAAUAUUGUUGAUAAAAAGUUUAAUAAGAAAGAUGAUUUCUUUUUGUUAUAGUCAAUAAAACUUUUGUUGACUCUUAGAUUUUAAAUUUUAUUGUUUGAAUGGGCAAUGAUUCAAGUUCUAAAGUCAUUAAGAUUGAUACCAUAAAGGUGAGGAUGUUUGAUGGUAUUAUGAGAAUGUUGAGUAAUGUUUAGCAUAUUGCUAAGUUGAGAAAGAGUUUAAUUUCUUUAGAGGCUUUGGAUACUCUUCUCUAUGAUUUUUCUGGAAAAAAAUAAAUAAAUGAUAUUAUUAAUAUCAAUUAAAGUGCUUUGAUAGCUAUGAUAGGGAAAAAGGUGAAAACUUUUAUACAAGUUGAUUGAAAAUAUAAUUUUAGGUGGAGCUAUGAAGGUAGAGUCACAUUAUGAAAAGUCUUUUACUAGUAGUAAAGAAGUUGUCAAAGUAGAUGGAUGCCACAAGAUGAUUGAGAUUCCGUUUUUCACUAAGUGUACUCAUUAACACAAGGAUGAAAAUAGUUUCGAAAUGAAUAAAGUUAUAAAGAAAACAAAGACAAUUUCUUAAAUCAAGUUCGAUGACAGUUUGAAUUUAGCACAUAUUUAUUCUCAUUAAUUAUGCAAGAUUGAGAAAUUUUAAUCAAUGUGGAGAUUGUUGGUAUUUGGUUUAAAUUAUCUAUUUAUUAUAUUUAGGAAAGUCAAUAUUUAUAAUAGAGUUUGUGUUUUGGUAAAUUACCUUUUUCGAGUUUAACUAUGAUUAGGAAACUAUUGAUUUUGGGUUCAUCCAUAGGACUUUACAAAUAUGAGGUUUUAAAUAGGAUUUAGUAAGAGAAAUAAAAAUGCAUAAAGAGUGAAGAGAUAUAAGCAAAGGGUGUAUUGAAUUUUAAGUAAAAAAAAAUUGAAAAAGUUUGAAGUUGUUGGGCUAUGUUUGUCUGGCCUAUGAGCCCAUAUAUUAGGCUAUUUUAUAUUUAGGUUUUUCCUAAGCCCAAAUAUGGAUCUAAAAAUAGCAUUAGCACUUUGGUAUUAAGAGAAAAAGGCAUUUGAUUGAGAAAAAGAAAGAAGAUCAGGAUUUGUUUUUCUAGGCAUUGUUCUAAGGCUCAAGGGUGAAGUUAUAGGUUCCUUUCAUCAACCUUUUUGGGGAAUUCCUAUAGUACGUUUUCUCCCUAAUUUCUUUAUGUUCAUGUUUCAUUGGGUGAUGGAUUCCUACCUUAAGCGAGGACUUAAUUAUUGUAUCCCUAUUUAUUGAAGUAGAAGAAAUUUUCUCUAUGGUUUUUUACCUCUAUUCAAAGGGUUUUUCCACGUUAUAUUUGGUAUCCUCUUUUGUGGUUGAAUGUUAUUGAUUGUCGUUCUUGAUUUUUCUUAAGUUGUUAUUAUUCUUGAGAGGUGGUUAUUAUUGUUGAGUGGUUGUUAUUCUUGUGGAAGAAUCUUUUAACUUUGGCAGGUUAAUACUCUAGAUCUCUCCCUUUAUUUUCCCAACAAGUGGUAUCAGAGCUUGGUUGUGGAACUUUUAUUCUUGAAAGGGAUGGAGAUAAAAGGGAACUCAACCUCCAUGAUAAAACUUAACAAUUCAAAUUAGGCUAUGUGGAAGUCCAUGAUGAAAGAUUUUCUCACCAUCAAUGAUUUGUCAAAUACUUUUGAAGAUAAAGAAGUUAGGCCCAAAGAUAUUUUUUAUUUGGAAGCUUACUAAGGGCUCGUUGGUUGUUGCAAAAGGAGAAACAAUAUAUUUUAGUUUUUUUCCUCUUCUCUAGCAUAUAAGCGUCGUAAACUUGGAUGCAUGAGCAAAGUUUGACAAAACACACGGAUGAAUUCCGAACAAAGAUGAUGAAAAUGGAAGUACUCCAACAACCAGCAAGCAUAUAUGAGCAUAUGCAUCAUUCAACUUGUUCUUUUUUAUUUCUAUAUAUAUCACAAAGUGUAGAAGUCCACCAGGGCAUAAAUUGUGAAUGGAGAAAAAGAAUACACCAAUCUAGGAUUUUUUUUUAAAUAAUAAUAUAAUUUUUAAUAUAUAUAUAUAUAUAUAUAUAUAUUACAAAAAUAUAAUAUUUUUGAAAAUUGUCUUUUUAAAAGAUGAUUUCACAUUCACAAAUUGUCUUUAUAAAAAAAACAAAAAACAAAAAAAACAAGUUUUUGUUAAUAGUUAUCUUGUAUUUCAUCUUUUAUUUUCUUUCUUAUUUCAAGUAAGAUCAUUGUUUCAAAAUGGGAUUUUGACAUGAAUAUAUUCUUUUAUACCCUUAGAUCAGAUGAUCAAUAGAUGAGCUCUAUGGUAUUAUAAUCAAGGAUAGUGAGACCCUGAAGAGCAUGUUGAUAUGUGGUGGCCAUGAUGGUAAUAAGUUUGUGUAUAGCUAAUGGAUUGACUUUAAAUAUGUCCAAAUCUAUGAUUUUAUUAUUUACAUAUCAUACGUUUUUUAAAAUGUAAUUAUCAUUAUGUUAUGCUAGUUUUUGUACAUAAAAAUUGUUCCAUAUAUAAUAUAUUUUUAAACUGUUUUUACCUUGUAUCAAUUAUCCUAACACUAGUGCAUCAUAAUUAUCCGCUAAACCAUUUGUUCACCUAAUAGAUUUUGAUGGUUUUUAGGUAAGGACUCCCAUGCAUAUGCCUAUUGAGGAGGCAGAAUUAGCUUCAAAGAACAAGUCACUAGGUACCUAGAUUUGUGUUUUUCCUUAUUAGACCUGUAGGACAUGUAGUUCAUUUUCUUUAUGUAUUUUAGAUGUUUUCUUUUGUAUGUCUCAUCUUCUCAAUCUCUGCUUCCACUAUUAAUUUAUUUUGUUAUUGUUUUAUCAAAAUCAUUUAAUUGUAUGUAUUUUUUUUUAUACUAAAUAUUUAUCUAUUGAGACAAUGAUUUCUUUUUAGAUUUUGAUGCAAAAUGGACUCACCAUCUCUUAGUGGGCCCUUUUUGGGUCUUUACAAAUCAAGUUUCUAGUAAUAUUAUUAUAUAGCAGUUUUCUGUUCGCGAAUUACAUAGUAAUUUUCUCUUAAUGAUGUAGACAUGGUCUUCCGGUAUGCAAAUUUACAUCCAAAGCAAAUAGUAUUUAUACUAAAAAAUAAGUUGGUUUGCUUUAUUAUCAAACUAAUAAAAAGGCUACCAUGAAUAUAUCCAUAUUAUCACAAAUAUUAGCCUUGCCAAUAUAUUUUAGUUUUUUUUUCCUCUUUUCCAGCAUGUAAGUGCCAUAAACUUGGAUGCAUGAGCAAAGUUUGGUAAAACACACGGUUGAAUGCCAAGCAAAGAUGAUGAAGAUGGAAAUACAGCAACAACCAGCAAGCAUAUAUGCGUAUUUAUAUAUGCUUUUUAUUUCCAUAUAUAUCACAAAGUGUAAAAGUCCACCAGGGUACAAAAUGUGAACAGAGAAAAAGAACACACGAAUGACAUACAAUUUUUUGUGUUAUUAUUUUUCCUUAAUGUAUUUAUCAUGAUGAAAAUAUAUAAAAACAAAAACAAAAACAACAUAUUAUAUGCUCAGGACUCGUAAGAUUUUCUGAUGUUGGGUGAUGACUAUGCAUAUUGGAGGCUGGAGCUUCAUUUAUGUUCAGUAGUCAUGACAACAGGAGCAGCGCAUGCGAACCUGUUCAGUAGCAAUAUUUUUAUGUGGGCAAUGUGAAGAUAUAUGGAGGAGAACGAUCACCGGUUAUUUAUAUGAAUGCAGCCAGUGGCAUGACUAGAGUUUUUGGUAGUUUGGCUUAGUUGAAGGGUUUUUUUGACUCUUGACUAAUAGAAUUUUCCUGUAGGAGAUUAGAAAUUGAAUAGGUCAUAAAGGAAGAAAAUACCUAGAAUUUACCCAAAUGGCUAGUUUUCUUAUGUAGUUAAUUUAAUUUCACAUAUGCGUGCAUCUUAAAUCAAUUACAAAGAAAAUAUAUGAUACUCUCUCCAAGCUUUUUCGAAAAUAGAUAUGAGAAAUUAAUCCAUGCCCAUUAACUUUAGUUAAUAGUAAAGUAUGUAAUUUGGCUUGAUUAAAUAUCCUUAGUUAUGAUUUUCAUGAGAAAGUUAGAUAAUUAUCGUUUUGGAUACCAGGUUCUACUAUAUAAUCACAUUUUUUUUCACCAAAUUAAGCAAUAUUCGUAAAGCUUAUUUAAAUUAUUGAUUUGUAAUUAACCUGUAUUGGACACCGAAGAAUCAAUUUAUAUGCUACAGGUACAAGUGAUAUUCACUAGCAUGUUCAGGAUACAUGGCAUUUUCUGAGUUAUAUUAAUUGCAUAAGGGGCUGCUAAAUCAUAUCUCAUUAAAAUUAAUCAUUUCCAAAUUGUUAGCAUUAAUCUAUAGCAAAGUUAAUUCAAAAUUUUCUCACAGUUGUAAAGCACUUAAUGAUAGAAAUAGGAGUAGAGAGACCAAUCUAGGUAGGUAUGGUCUAUGAAGUUUUUUGUCUUAUAUAAUACGUACCAUUUACUUCAUUAUUUUAGAGGCAUUGAUUUUGAACAAAGAUAAAUUAAGUUGUGGUAGGAACACGUUUACAUGAAUUGGGGCUUUUAGACGACAUACUUCUAGCAGAUUCAAGUCAUUGAACAUAACUCUACUAACACGCAUCAGCUUUUCCACCCUCAGAAGCCAUGAGACAAAGUCCAUUUCUAUGUAUAUAUGCACAUGUACCAACCCUCUUUAUUAUGACUUUACCCAUGUUGACAUAGUUUAACACGAGCUCAAACUUAGGAUGAUAUUUAAGGCUUAAGCUAAAUUAUAUAUUUUGAAAAAUAUGGUUAAUAUUAUCCGUUAUCCAACAACUCAAGUUUUUAAAUCAAAUGAGUAAUUUAACAAUUACACUAUCCUUAUACCAUUAAUUGGAAGGCACUUCAUAUCUUUUGCCCAAGAUAUCUAGGAUUUUUUUUUUUGCUUAAAUAAUAAUAUAAUUUAUAAAUAAAUAAUAUAUAUAUAUAUAUAUAUAUAUAUAUAUAUAUAUAUAUAUAUAUAUAUAUAUAUAUAUAUAUAUAUAUAUAUAUAUAUAUAUAUGUAUGUAUGUAUGUAUAAAAUAGUAUUUUACAACAUAUUUAGAAAAAAUAUGAUAUUUUUGGAAUUCGUUUUUUUUAAAAAAAAACAAUUUCACAUGCAUAAAUGGUCUUUAAGAAAAACAAUUUCUUGUUAAUAGAUAUCUUGUAUUUCAUCUCUUAUUUUCUUUCUUAUUUCAAGUAAGAUUAUUGUUUCAAAAUGGGAUUUUGACAUGAAUAUACUCUUUUAUACCCUUAGGUGAGAUGAACAGGAGAUGAACUCUAUGGUAUUAUGAUCAACGAUAAUGAGACCUGAAGAGCAUGUUGAUGAUACGUGGUGGCCAUGAAGGUAAUAGGCUUGUGUAUAGCUGAUGGAUUGACCAUAAAUAUGUCCAAAUCUAUGAUUUUAUUAUUUAUAUCUCAUACAUUUUUUAAAUGUUAUUAUCAUUAUGUUAUGCUAGUUUUGUACAUCAAAAUUAUUCCAUAUAUAAUAUAUUUUAAAACUGUUUUUACCUUGUAUUAAUUAUCAUAACAAAAAUGCAGCAUAAUUAUCCACUAAACCAUUCAUUCACCAAAUAGAUUUUAAUGGUUUUUAAGGUAAGGACUCUCGUAUGCCUAUUCAUGAGGUAGAAUCAACUUCAGAGAACAAAUCACUACGUACCUAGAUUUGUGUUUUUCUUUAUUAGACAUGUAGGAUAUGUAAUCUAUUUCCUUAAUGUAUUUUAGUUGUUUUCAGUUGUAUAUCAUCUUGUCAACCUUUGCUUCCACUAUUAAUUUAUUUUAUUAUUGUUGUUUUACUAAAAUCAUUUAGUUGUAUGUAGUUUUUAUACUAAAUAUUUAUAUGUUGAGACAAUGAUUUCUUUUUAAAUUUUGAUGCAAAAUGGACUCACCAUCUCUUAGUGGGCCCUUUUUGGGAGGGUGUUUACAAAUCAAGUUUCUGAUAAUAUUAUUAUGUAGCAGUUUUCUCUUUACUAAUUACAAAUAAAUUUUCUCUUAAUGAUGUAGACAUGAUUUUAGGCUAUGUGAAAUUACACCUAAAGAAAAUAAUAUUUAUACUAAAAAAUAAGUUGUUCUGUGCUAUUAUCAAACUAAUAAAAAAACUACCCUGAAUAUAUCCAUAUUAUCACAAAUAAUUAACCUUGCCAAUAUACUUUAGUUUUUUUCCUCUUCUGUACCAAUAUAUUUUACUUUUUUUCCUCUUCUCUAGCAUAUAAGUGCCGUAAACUUGGAUGCAUGAGCAAAGUCAAACACACGGAUGAAUGCUGAACAAAGAUGAUGAAAAUGGAAGUACUCCAACAACCAGCAAGCAUAUAUGAGCAUAUGCAUCAUUCAACUUGUUCUUUUUUAUUUCUAUAUAUAUCACAAAGUGUAGAAGUCCACCAGGGUACAAACUGUGAAGGGAGAAAAAGAAUACACGAAUGACAUACAACCAAUUUGGGUUAUUAUUAUUUUUUAUAUGAAAAGGAAAAUAUAUAAAAUAAAAUAACAAAAACAACAAAUGCAACGCCUACAUAUUCAGUUUAUUCCUUGUGGUCCCAUAAAAGUCAUAAAAUACGUAGUUAUGUGCUCAGGACUCGUAAGAUUUUCUGAUGUUGAGUGAUGACUAUGCAUGGUGGAGGCUAGAGUGAUAGGCCACGACGAUCUGAGAGGGACCAUAAACCAAAUCCCAAAUAUUUGGGAUGAGUGGGAACGUGAAGAACCGUUGGACUUGGACUGGGUUGUGGCAGUUGAGAGUCCUACGUGCAGAAGGAAAUGGGUCAUCCGUAGUGAGAGUUUUCCGUCAUUUUAUUUCCGUUUGUUAUGCUCGUUUGUACGUGGCUUUGCUUAUUUAAAGCAGCCAAUGCUUUCGUUAAAGAGUAGUAUUUUUCUUUGCAAUCAAAUUGUGGUUCGUUUCUCACCCGAAGAGAAAACAUAGUAUCUUAGCCUUAUACUCUGAGUUUGGGACCUAUCAUAGAGCUUCAUUUAUGUUCAGUAGCCAUGACAACAGGAGUGCUGGCAUGCGAACUGGCUCUAUGGGGAGGAAUGGCAUGACCCGCAAACUUCAUUCCAUUGGGACAAGGUGAGCCUUUUUCGGGGAUAUGGCCGCAUGAACUUGGUCCUGAAGGAGGGACAGGUCCUGAAAGCGUAGAUUUCAAAGGAACAAUCCUUAUCUUCAUCCACUCUUCUUUCUCUCCAUGAUGAUCUUGGAUGGGUUAAGCAAACAGGAGAUGAUCAGAUAGAGCAAUAUUUUUAUGUGGGCAAUAUGAAGUUAUAUGGAGGAGAACGAUCACCGGUUAUUUAUAUGAAUGCUGCCAGUGGCAUGACUAGAGUUUUUGGUUGUUUGGCUUAGUUGAAGGGUUUUUUUGACUCUUGACUAAUAGUAUUAAUUCAAAAUUUUCUAACGGUUGUAAAGCACUUAAAUAAGAGUAGAGAGACCAAUCUAGGUAGGUAUGGUCUAUGAAGACUUUUGUCAUAUAUGAUACGCACCAUUUACUUCAUUAUUUUAGAGGCAUUGAUUUUGAACAAAGAUAAAUUAAGUUGUGGUAGGAACACGUUUACUUGAAUUGGGCCUUGAAUGUUUGGGGCUUUUAGACGACAUACUUCCAGCAGAUUUAAGUCAUUGAGCAUUACUAACACGCAUCAGCUUUUCCACCCUCAGGAGCCAUGAGACAAAAUCCCUUUCUAUGUAUAUAUGCACAUGUACCAACCCUCUUUAUUAUGACUUUACCCAUGUUGACAUAGUUUAACAUGAGCUCAAAUUAGUAACUUAGGAUGACAUUUAAGGCUUAAGUUAAAUUACCUUGAUAAAUAUGGUUAAUAUGGUUAAUUUGAUAUGUUAUCCAACAACUUAAGUUUUUAAAUCAAAAGAGUAAUUUUACAAUUACACUAUCUUUAUACCAUUAAUUGGAAGGCACUUGUGGACCCGCGUUUUUCACGUGCAUCCCCACUCGAGUGGCGAGACUCAUUUUUCAUUUAUUUGUGAAAAUUUAAUUUUUAGAAAAAGACUUGGAAUUGCUACUUAUUUUAAUUUUUUUUAAAUGGAAAAUAAAAUAAGAAAGAAACCAUGUGUGACUCCUUAUUUGGAAAAGACAUGUCUGUAAAAACAGAAUCUAGAUUUAAGGGUUAGGCUACCUAUUGAGAAGAUACGGUGGUGAACCGUAGCACCCCUUUAAGGUCGUAUACAUACGGUCUCUACUAAACAAAUUAAGGGAAUUGUGGUAAUUAAUUAAUUAAUCAUAAAUACCAAGAUUAAAGGAACUAAACAAUAUACACAAAGAUGAUGACAAAAUAAAAUUACAAGAAUGUACAAAAUAAAUGAAAACAGAAUUAUGCAAAUUGAUUUAUUGAACUAAAUAAAAAAAUAUUUUAAAAAAUUAGUUUUCUAAAAAUUUGAAAGGAUUUUAUUUAAAACAAUUUUGAAUUAGUGAUUUCCAUUUAUUUAUUUACAAAAAAUAGUCAAUAUAUUUUCUCAAUUUCAUUUGAAUUUAGAGAUGUCUUUAUCUUUGAUGCUUGCAUAGGCUUUUACUUCUACCCGCUUGCUGAAGUAGUCAGUGGCUACGAGUAGAAAUUUCUUUUGCACGGAUGUGAUAGGUAAGGGGCUAACUAUAUCCAUACCCCAUAGUGUGAAUGGCCAAGGGCUCAUGACAGGAUUGAGGACUUCUGACAGCAUAUGAGGAAUGGGAGUGUACUUCUGGCAUCAGCCACACCUUCUAACAUAGCUUUUGAUGUCUUUCCUUAUGGUAGGCCAAUAGUACCCCUAUGUGUGAGCGCGAUGAGCUAAGGUACAUCUACCUUCAUAAUUGCUGCAUACGCCCUAGUAGAGAUUGGCUAGGAUGUACUGUGCUUCUGGACCGCUCAAACACUUGAGGUACAACCCCCCAAAAGAUUGCCUAUAAAGCUUGUCCCUGAUUAGAGUGAAAUGAGCAGCCUGCACCUGGAUCUUCUGUGUUUGUUUCUUAUCUUUAGGUAGUUCCCUUAUCCAAAGGUAUUUCCCAAUUUCGUAAGUCCAAUCAGUGUUUGUCUCAAUAGUACUACAUACGGAUGCUGCCGCGAUUGAGGACGUGGUUUGGAGGUAAAUGGGCAGUAGCAUUGCCUCCUCUAGAGGGAGAGUAGCGGCUACUUCAGCCAGCGCGUCAACUUUUGAGUUCUCUCUCCGAGGUACUCAGUCCACCGCCCAUUCACCCAAUUUUGCAAAGUUAUUUUGUACUAAUGCGAGAUAGCGAGCCAUGCGCUUGUCCUUAACUUCAUAUUCUUUCCAAAAUUUCCUAAUGACUAGUUGAGAAUUGUUGCAUAUUUUUAACUUAACUAGUACUAAAGUAAGGGUAAGGUUCAAUCCGGUUAAGAUUGCCUCAUACUCAACUUCGUUGUUGGAGGCGGGGAAACCGAGCUGAAUAGCUUAUUCUAGAAGUUUCCCGAUUGGUGACUGUAAAAUUAGGCCUACCCUCGAACUGGAGGCCCUGGAUGUUCCAUCUACAUGAAGUGCCCACCACCCUUCCUCAGGGGAGUAUGCUAGGUGGGGUGGCUUUUGAGGGAACUCAGCUAUAGAAUCGGCCAUGACUUGUCCCUUCAAUGCCAAUCUAGGCUGAUAUUUGAUUUUGUAUUCACUCAACUCUAUGACCCACCUUAACAUUCUUCUGGAUAGGUCUGAUUUAUGCCAAAUACUUUUGACCAGUUGAUUCGUGAGUAUAGUUACUUGAUGGGCUUGAAAAGAAGGGCGGAGCUUUUGGGUGACACUUUUUAGAGCUAAGGUCAUUUCCUCCAUCUUGGAGUACCAGGUUUCUACAUCAACUAUCGCUUUGCUAACGUAGUAAACGAGCCUUUGUUCUUUAUCUUUUACGUGACGAAAUAGGACAACGCUGACCGCAUAGUUAGACAUGGCUAAAUCUAUGUGAGUUGUUCACUGGAUUGCGGGCUACUCAGAAUGGGUGGAUGGGUAAGAUAGCAUUUAACCUUGUUGAAUUCUCGUUUGCACUCAUCUAUCAAACCGAUCACGCUUGCCCCUUUUAGCAUGAAGAAGAAAGGCCUUAGCUUAUUAGUGAAAUGAGCUAUGAAAUGUCCCAGUGCAGCUAGGUGACUUGUGAGGCACUACAACUCCUUCUUGCUGCUCGAGGCAGGCGUUUCAAGGACGACUCUUAUUUGGUCCGAGUUCACUUCAAUUCCCAUUUAUGUUACCAUAAACCCUAAGAAUUUCCCCGCGUUGACACCAAAGGCAUAUUUAACAAUGUUUCUUCUAAUUGUUGGGCGUGUUCACUAUGAUUUUUGCUUUUCACCACGAUUUCGUCAAUGUACACUUCCAUGGUCUGGUCGAUUAGGGAUUUGAAGAUCUUUGUCAUCAGCCUUUGAUAAGUAGCGCCAAUAUUUUUUAGCAUAAACAACAUGACCUUGUAGUAGUAAAGUUCGUGCGGCGUCACGAAGGUUGUCUUAUCUUUGUCUAGUUGGAACAUGGGGAUUUGGUGGUAUCCAUAGAAUGCAUCUAUGAAGGAGAGCAUUCCAUGUCCAAUAGUGGCAUUUACUAUUUAAUCUAUUCUAGGCAAUGGAAAACUAUCCGUUGGACAAGUCUCAUUCAAGUUGGUGUAAUGAACACAGACUCGCCACUUUCCUCAUUUCUUUGGAACAACCACCACUAUAGACCCUCGUUUUUGUCCUUUUAGCACAUGUCUUUAAGUUCACUUCCAGUGCUCCAUAUUAGUUCCUUGGUGGCCCAUUACUACUCAUACUACUUACCUUUUUUUAGCUACCUUGGAAACAUUGGUUGAAGGAUUUAUCUAACCCCAUUAUGACUCUUAAUAGCCCUAAUUUAGAAUUAGGCACUGUUCUAAACACCUUAAGCCCACUUAGGCACCACAUUAAGCCCAUUCACUUAGGCCCACUUAGGUUCAUCUUGGCCCACUUAGGUUCACCCAAGCACACGUGGUCCACUUCGCUCGCCCUAGGUCACUUAGGCACACUUUUAGACUCACUUAUUUUUGCAUGACUUGCAUGGUUUCAUGAAUUGCAUGACUUGUGUGGCCUACAUAGCUUUAUUUAUUUAUAUUUUAUGUAUUAUUUUUGUUUUAUUUUAUUUUAUAUUAUUAUAUUAUAAGUUUUCUAACUCAUGUUUCCUAGAUUUUUUUAGCAUGAGGAAACGGGCUACCAUCUAUUUGGAAGAAGGAUCACCAUAAUUUUCGAGAAACGAAAGUGACAGAGAUUUUUUUUAUGGAAUAACGAAAGGACAGGGAAAGAGAUAGUGGUAUGAAAGGUCAUCUGAAACAUAUAUAUCCAUUUGAAAUUUUCUGAGGGGACGCACAGGUUAUGGAAGAAUAGAUUAAAUGAUUUGGGAGGUCCACAACCUGUACACAUGAUUAAUAUCCCUUGAAUGCAUGAUGAUAGGAGCAGUCACAAUCUCGACAUACAUAAUCUGCUGUUAAAGAACAACAUACACGCAUGCAUGGAGAGGAAUGGAUGCACAAUCCAUCAUUGACCCACAUGUUCUCAUACAAGUCUACGCCUUUGUGAGAGAUGUGCUGCUAUUGAAGAAGCGGUCGCAUCCUUGAGACAGUCCGCACACACGGAAGGAGGGGAAGAGGAUUUGGUCAUUAUUUUCGUGAGAAAAGUAGAGACACAUAUAUCCAAAUGGGGCAUGGUGAAGACGCAUAGGAGUGGAUGAUAAGAGUGAAAGCAAGAGACUUUUUGAGAGGGAAAGGGUGCACAGUUUGGGGUAUGAGAGUGAGAUUAUCAUAUUUAUGGAGAGUGAAUCAGUGCAUGGUUCAAGAGGGAAGAUUGGAGAAAGAAGGAAAAAGGGGAGUCAUCCAUGUUGAAGAAUACCCUGUCCAUUAGGGAUUCGACAUCACAUAUCGUCAAUGGGAGUGGCUUGCAGAAAUCUGGACCACACACCAUUGAAAUUCGGAUCCAUCACGCACCACCAAAAUAAGGAGGAAAUGGGUGGAGGGCUGUUAAUGGUAGAGAAUAACAAGAUUAUUUAUGGAGAAAAUUAUAUUGUACAUAGGCACGUUUGAUGAGUGGUCAGUUUGUUAAUGGUGGAGAGUAUCAGGUUUUUGGAGGAGCAGUAACAUAUUUUAUGUGGAGAAUAAACUACUAGCAAACCAAACUUUCCUCUUAGAAAUUUUAUGGAUGAACACCAUGUACCAGAAUAUUGGAAGGAGAGCACCAUCUCCAUUUUGGGGAAGAACACACCACCGACCUUAGGAAAAAUGGGAGAAAUUCUAGAAGUUUGAUUUUCGUUUCUGUUAGAAAAAAGGAGUUCAUGCUGCAACUGAUGAUUCUCAUGGAAGCAACCUUGUUGCCAUUCUCUGUUGAUCUAAUCAUCAUAUGGAGAGGGAUCACCGACCUUGAGGAGAGAUUUUGGCUACUCUAAAACUGGAAAAAAUGAAGGAGUUAUGGAUUCAUUUGAUUAGAAGAUUAUUACCACACAUGGUUCCUGAAAGGGCGAUUUAGAGAUAGAAUUGGUUAGAGAGAACUGUGGAUAACCAAAGAAAGAGAAGAAACAAAAGAGACAAAGUAGUGGAGAGAGGAAAGCAAGCAAACAAGUAGAAAGAUGGGGGAUUUCGGAUUUGGAGAUGAGAUUAAGAGCUGGAAACCAAGCAUAACAGUGCUUGAAAGGAGUUGUCUAGGUACGAUUACUAAAGCUUCAUGUUAUCCUAUCUUCAUAUUGUUUCUUUCUGGUUUUUGCAUAUUAUUUUGUUGGUUUCUACAUAUUAUUUUGUUGAUUGAAUCUGAAUAUAAAAAACCAUCGUGUUAUUGUUGAGACUGAGAUUGUUUUCAUGCUUCCACUAUUUGGGUUAUGCUCUGGUUCUCAAGUUCACUGAUAACUCAUGAAGUGAAGCUUCACUUGUUGACGCAAUGAUUUAUGUUUAUGUCCUAUUUCUAUGGUUGUUAUUUUUGCUGUGAUUUUCCUCUAUUCCUGUUGACUGUCCAUGGUGCGCGUCAAGUGGUGCAUUUCAACCUAGGGCUGCUCUGAUCUGUUAUUUUAAGAUGAAGUUGCCUAGACUAUCAUCAUUUUUUGAAAAGUGGGAUUCUCAAAGAUGUCCACAAUUGGUACAUAUUAAAAAGGGUUUCCUAAUAGUGACACCCUCUCUGAGUAAAACUUUUAACCAUCAUUGCAACUUUGCAACUUUCACAAGUAAAGGCUGAGAGGCUACCAAUCAUUUAAACAUGUAAACUUCGCCCUUAUUAAUACGGAACAACUCCACCUUUGGUCCUACCCAAUACUCAUCAUCCAAUGUAAUUUUUUCAAUCCAUAAAAUUAGCAACGAUCAUUGAAAUCACAACCAAAACUUCAAAAGAAAAAAGAUAAUAGUAAAAUAUUCAUUUAAUUAUAUUUUGAUGAAUUGUAACCAUUACUCACACUUCCUGGGGCAUCAAUAUUGAUGCAUCUAUACACACUACAUAUUUCAGCAAGUAGUAGUAACAAUUGCGAUUAUAUUUACAAUCAUUGACAUCACAACAUUUGAUGUGUUUUUAACUGCAUAGAAAUCUAAAGAAAAAUUUACAUAGGAUUACAAAGCGGUAAUUGUGCUUCCAAAUCAACAUGUGUGCCAUGAUAAAUCAAAGAGAAAAUGAAUUAAUUUGUGAAAUAUAUAAAUCCUUACUAUUCUCCACCCAAGCCAGCUUCCACAUAAAGUACAAUAGACAGAAACCGCAUCCUCAUGACUCCCUGCAUGUAUAUAUAUAUAACAGAAAAUGGAAAAUGGAAAAUGAUCACGAUAUUAAUCAAUUAAUAUCACAAAUCUUAAUUAAGCAUCAAAUCUUAAUUAUGGAAAAGAAACAAUUAUGGCAAAGAAAUUACUCAAUUAAUUAAGCAUCAAAUCUUAUUUAAAAUCACAAACCAUGUAUAUAUAUAUAACAGAAAAGAAACAAUACCUGAAUAAAAUUGUUGUCAAAAGCAACGUAAUUAUGGCAACGGAUGCAGCGGAAGUCGCAAGAAAGUGGUGGGCAUCCAGAAAGGCUUCAAGAGCACUAAGCAUACGUGCAGUUUCUGGUGGAAGGGCCAUUGGAACUUGGAAUAUCAAAGAUUAACAGCUACUCUUCUUGACGGAUCCUACAAUAUCAUUCAGAAAAAUUAAGAAAAAAAGAAUAAUCUUAAGUUUCCAUAUUGCAACUCUUAUACAAGAGAUUCCGGGUGAGAAAAUACCAGAUAUUUAUGAAGAAGGCUUCAAGGUGAAAGCUCCCAACAACUUAGUUCCUGGUGGGAAGGACAACUAUCACCUUAAUUUUUACCAACAAAGUGAGAGAAACCACAAACAGAGAAAGAAAGAGGGGGAAGGGAAAGUUGGUUAUUUUGUUUUAGAAAAACAGUUAAAUGAGUGUGAACUAUGAGCAAUGAUGAUUAAUUAUAUGCUAAAAUACACCAUUUGCCACAUCAUCAUGUUAGGUUAUGAUUAUAAACUUUGAAUUGUCCAUUAAUUUCCUUCAGAACCAGUUAAAAAAGUGAAGCUUAAUUUAUUUUAUAUAACGGUUUCAUGUUUCUUUUAUUAUUUUCAAUCCUUGUGAAGAAAAUAGGCUUGAUGUAGAUGCUUAAUUGUUAAAUAAUUUAUUUAUUAGGUAGAACGAGAUUUAAAUACACUACAAACCUAGUAUUUCUCAUUAAUCUCCCAAUAAAUUCCCUUUGAAUCUUCAAAUAAAUCAUUUACCAAGAGUUUAAGUAGUCUCAUAUAGAUUAAGGUCGUGUUUGGUUGACUGGAUAUAACAUGGGAUAGGAUAAGAGAGAGGAUAUUAUAUCUUGUCCAAUGUUUAGUUGGUGAUAGGAUAUGAUAAGCUAUCUCAUCACUUAUCCUAUCUUAUAUUCAACUAAACGUAGGAUAGCAUAAGUAGUAGGAUAUAUUAUCCAUCUUUUUUUUCAUCCCUUUCACAUGGGAUAUGUUAAUUUUAUGGUAAAAUAUGGAACAUACAUAUCCCAUUAUCAAAAAUUCAUUUUCUUUUUUAUGCUUUUUUAAUACUCAUUUUAGAAAAUAAAUUUUUAAUUGCAAAUUAAUUUUAUGAUUUAAAAAAAACUAAAAAAAUAUCUAUAAAAUAAUAUUAAUAUAUAAUAUAUAAAUUAUUUUUAUAUAUUAAAUAACAUAAUAUAAAAAAUAAUUAUUUGCAAAAUUUAAAUAUUUUUAUCAUGAAUAUUUUUAAACAUAACAAAAUUUUCAUUUUUUUUAAAUAGAAAAUAUUUAAAUGUGUUAUAAUUUUUAUUUUAAACAUUGAAAAUAAUAUAUAUUUCAUAUUAUUUUUAUUCAUUUCACAAAUUAAAUAUAAAUAUGAUAUAACAUAUCUCAUUAGAUUUCCUAUCUUAAAAUAUUAUGUUCAUAGACUAUGUAUAUCUUAGGAUAUGCAUAUCCUAUCCAAUGGGAUAUGACAUCUCCUAGGAUAUCCUAUCAUAUCAUGUCAACCAAACCUAACCUAAAGGUUUAAUAGUUUAUUUUGUAAUAUUUCUUAAAAAAAUAGUUUUUAAUAGUUCAUAUUUACAUAUUUUUCUCUUUUUCUUCUUAGUUCUCAAAUAUAGAAAACCAUUUUGGGGAAAACAGAAUACUUUAUCAAAAUAUUUUUUAAAAACAAAAACAGCUAAAAACACAUCAAUUCUUUUUUCUAAUUGUAAAGCAACAACUUCCACGUGAAAAGGCAAUCUGAUUAGAAAAAAGAAAUCAACAACUUCCAACUGAAAUUGAGCUUCAGGUUCUUGACCAAGAAACAGAGAGCCAAACAGUUAAGGAUGUGUUAAGAUAUCCGACAAAAAAAAGAAAGGAUUAGUUAAUAUAUUUGUCUUAACAGUCAAUGAUGAACAACGCUCGGAAGAAAUUGCUGAAUGUGAAAUCAACCAUACCCAAGCAAUCAGAUUCUUGAAAGCUACCAAACUUGAAUUUAAUUUUCUGAAGAAAGUGAGCGAAAGUGAGAGGAAGUGAGAGAGAAACAGUCAUGAAUCUUAUAUAGGAAACGAAGCAAAUGAACUUGAAUUGGAUCUCUGCAGAAAGAAAGAAGGUAAAGGGUUAGGAGAAAUCAACUACAACCAAGUUAUCAGAUUCUUGAAAACUGGCAAACUUCAAUUUAAUUUUCUGGAGAAAGUGAGCGAAACUGAGAGAAAGUGAUAAACAGUUAUGAAUCUUAUAGAGGAAACAACGCAAAUGAACUUGUAAUGGAUCUAUACAGAAAGAAAGAACGAAAAAAAAGGAAGAAGGAAAAGGGUUAGGAGAAUUUUACCGGAUUGAUGACAAAAAGGGCCAAGAAAUUGUUGGGUGUGAAAUCAACGACACCCAAGCUAUCAGAUUCUUGAAAGCUACCAAACUAGAAUUUAAUUUUCUAGAGAAAGUGAGCGAAAGUGAGAGACAAACAGUACAACUCCCAAGUGAAAUUGAGUUUCAGAUUCUUGACCAUGAAAGUGAGAAAGAAACAGUCGUGGAUCAUACUUGUCAAUCACAGCUAAUUAACCUGUCCAGGAUAUCAAGAAAAAGAAACACAGGAUUAAAGAAUUUGUACCUGAUAGAUGAUCAAGACCGAGAAAAAAUUGAUGAAUGUGAAAUCAGCAAUUUCUCAUUCGGCAAUUUCUUCUAGGCUCCUUGAUCAUCAAUCAGGUACAAAAUCUGAAUCCAACUCCAACACCGAGAUGAACCAUGCCAACGCCGGACCCUACUCCAACACAAGAUCUCUUUCUUCGUUGUAAUCACUGCCCUCGACCCUUUAUUCACAGCCAAAGUGUUCUGAGUGUGAGAUGAUGAGUUUUGUUGCUAUUGUAGCUAUCUUUAUAAUGUUUCGGCUAUUUUCAUAGUUUUUAUUUAUUUAAUUUUUUUUUUUUAUUAUUUUUUUUUUUUUCUGUCUACAAUGGUGAAGUGAGGUUACAUUUUUUUUUAAAAAUUUAUGAAUUAAUAAUAAUAAUAAUAAUAAUAAUAAACCAUUAGUGAAUUAAUAUACCAUUUGUUAGCACUAACUAAAUAUUUGCCCUUUAAAAAAAAUUAGUAACAAACUCAACUUUUUACCACAAAAAAUAAUAAAAUGGCUUCUUCUUUUUCUUUUUUUUCUAUUAUUUUUUUAUUUUUUAUUUUUUUGGGCAUGUGUUGGAGGACCAAUUCUAAAGAAAAGAAAAAGGUGGUCAGGAACUCUCAGAACUGAUGUAACUUCAAAAUGUAUGGAAAUUGAUUUUAUACUUUUUAUUCCAAUGGAUUGUCCCAAAGCUUAAUUUACACAAAGUUAAAUGGCUUCAAAUCACGUAAGAAAUUCAAUUGAUGGACUAAUUUUUUUUGCUAAGAAAUUAAGAAUCUUGUUAGGAUGCAACAUGAUUCACGUAUGUUUGGUAAUUCUUUUCAAAAAUAGUUUUUCAUUUUUCAUAACAAAAAAUUGGAAAACAAGUUCGAUAAUUAGAAAAUAGAACAAUGUUUUAAGAAAAUAAAGUAUUUUCAGAAAUUAUUUUAAAAACAGUUCUAAAAUAUAAAAAAAAUAUGAUUAAAGAAUAAAGUAUGCAGUAUAAAUAAAAUUUAUUUUCAGAACAUAUUUUAAAAUAUAAAAAAUAAAUUAAGAAUAUUUUAGAUUUUCAAAUAAACUUUUAUUUUAUAAAAGAUUAGAAAACAACUUUUAAAAACGAUUUUUCAAAAAACCAAAUUGUAAGUCGAGAUUAAGUCAAAAUGAUGCAUCAAAGGUCAUACCUAACUUCAAACUAUGAUUUUCUUAAGAACCCUUUAAUGUUAAGUGUUGUACCAAAGUCAAAUUAAAUUCAACUUAAAUCAAUAAGUAUUAAGUUUUAGUAAACCUGCACCCUUUAAUGUUAUAACUUAAAGGUAAAAAUAACUUUAACCAUUAAGUCAAAAUGAUUAACUUAUUUUAAAUAAUCGAUUUCCUUUUGUCCAUAUACACAUCUAAUGAGAAUAUCUUUUAUGUCAAUGCCUCCACCACAUGAUUCAUAUAACUUUUUAACUAAAUAUAUUGUAGUUAUUUUAUGAUUCUACAAGACAUUUAAUAUGAAUGUUUAGCAAAUAAAUUUAUUAUUUAACAAUAAUGAAAGUAAAUAUUAAUGUAAAUUAACAAAGGUAAAUAUUAAUUGAAAUUAAUAAGAAUAAUGUGUUAAUUUGAUGAUUCAAUAAAAAUGUUAACUUUAUUGGAUGACUUUAAUACUUAAAAUAUAAAUUAAAUAAUAAAUUUUAAGUUAACAAUUUAAAAAUAAUUUAGCUUAAAAUAUAAAGUUUUAUCAAAUAUUUUGUAAAUCAAAUAAUAUUUGGACAAUUUUAUGUAUAUGUGAAUAGGAUUGCAACUUGAGUCGGUCCAAUUUGUACCCCUCGUAGGGUUCGAGUUGAAGGAUAAACUUUGAAUAAGUCAAGGUUUGACUUGGGUUGGAAAAAUAUCAAUUUAAAAAUAUUAGGAUAGGUGUGGGUUCAAGAUUCAAGCAAUCUACCAAAACCCAAACCCGCACAUAAUUAUUAAUUAUAAAUUGAAGCAAUUGGAAAGUUAUAUAUACCUUGCCAUUAAAAUUUCUUAAAAUUGCACACACACCUGAGUUCCCAGGGAUCACAAUUUGAUAAUAUAUUGAGUUUUCAGGGGUAAGAAGAUUCAGGGGUAGAUUGACCCAUAUACAUGGAGAUGGAACGUUUGCAUGGUCACAAGCCAAGAGACGAUUAACAGUACCUAUAAUUCCAAAUGAUGGUCUUUUCUUUAGAAAUAGGCACAUGAGCACAUACCAUAUGUCUCAUAUACCACCUCAAUGUUGAUCAAAACUCACUUGAUUAAAAAUAAAUAAAUAAAUAAUCAAAGAAGAAAUUAAAAUCCAUCUAUGACUCCAUGUAUUUAAGCAAAGUCAGAAGAGACCAAAUUUUAAGUCGAAAAGGAAGUCAAAUUUCAAACCAUAUUUUUGUGCGUAAACAGCGGCCACCUAUGACUCCAUGUAUCUUUAAUCGAGCUAUGUUGGGAAACUUUAGAAUUGGGUUUGAAUCCAUUUUAAGUCUUCUAUGUAAUCGACCCUCACUCUCCGUUUUCCUCCUCUCUUUUUUGGAUCACAUGCUGAGAAUGAAAUUACCUUUGAAACGUUCCAUUGAAUUUUGGAAGUCGAAUAAAUAAGAAGGCAUAGUCACAGAAAAUUGCUUCCAAAGUAAUAUCCUCUGCUCCGUAGACCACUCCAUUGAAAUCAACGCUGACCUCUUGAUCUAAAAAUUGGGCUAUAGAUUUUUAUAUUCUUCUAGAGACGAAUACCAUAUUUUUUCAAGAAUUGCAGUCCCUUUCCUAAAAUAUGUGGAGACAAAAAUGAUGAAAAAGAAAAAAAACACAUUAAUUAGAUAUGAAACAAUGAUGCUAAUUUUGGGAUGAGUAGGUAAGGUCGGAGAUGGUUAGACACCAGCAUAAGUCUCAAGACAAGUAAAGCCCAACGAUGCGUGUAUUAUGUGGGAUGAGUCCAACUCCACGGCAAGUUAAGCCUGAAGAAGAAUAUGAUUGAUUGACUGACAUCAAGAUUAAAUUGAUCUUAUUUACAGCAAAUUGGUUUAUAGCUAAUUAAGCCAUUGAUCCCAAUAAGUGAUAUUAAUUACAGCUAGGUCAUGGGUUAGAGUAGCAAGAGCCCCAUGUUGGACAAGGAAAAACCGUAAGGUGACAGAUUUGCUUGAUCGUAAUACAUAUCCUGUUGAUGGGUUUUUAUUAGGUAAAGAGGUGAACCCAGAACCAGUCCAUGCACACACAUCCCUGGACAGAGAGGAGGCAGGUGCGCCUUGAACCUGCAUUUUCCCAAUUUUGUGAUUGAUGUUGCUGUGGCUUCCGCUACUAAGGGUGGCCAUGCUCAAGAUUGAAGCUCGUAGGCUUGUUUUAGGAGUUGGGUUUUUUGCAUCUCAAUGAUCCCUCUCUUCCGUAUCUAUCCAUUUCCUAAUAAGAGUUAGGUAUGUUUGAUAAUUGCUUUUGAAAAUAGUUUUCUAUCUUUUAUAGUAAAAAACCACGAAACAAGUUUGAUAAUUAGAAAACAAAACACAGUUUUAAGAAUACAAACUAUUUAAAAAAAUUAUUUUAAAAAUAAAAUGGUAAAAAUAAAAUUUAUUUUAAGAAUAUAUUUAAAAAUAUAGAAAAUAUAGAAAACAAAUUAAGAACAUUUCAAAUUUUCAAAAAAACUUUUGCUUUAUAAAACGUUUGAAAACCAUUUUUAAAAACUGUUUUGGAAAACCAUUUUUCAGAAUUAUUUUUUAAAACACCUCUUGAAGAAAGCCUUAGUCUUACAAAUUUUUAUUUUGACAUGAAUGUCAAAUUUCUAUUAGGAAUAAACAUAUAUCAAAGCUUUAAUUUUGUGCAACCAAAUUUGACUUAUUCUCUUGCUGCAUGUGGCUAUCACUAUCCAAUUCAUUGAGAUAAAACCAGCCACUAAAUAGAGAUUUUGGGAAUUAUUUUCAAAAUAGGGACAAGUAGAAAUUAAUUCUCCUUGAUAUACUAUAAAUUAGAGAGAUAUUUUAUAAAGUAAUAGAAUACUAAAUUAAAUAGAAGUUAGAUCAAACAAUUGUAAGUCAAGAGAUUAAGUCAAAAUGAUGCAUCAAAGGUCAUACCUACUAUUAAGAAAACCUACUACUGAAAAACAAUUGAAAAACCUAAUACUAGUCGUCUUCAAAAUGUCUUAGCAGUAGGAUGGUAAGGAUUUUGAUUGAAAAACCUACUAUUCCUAGUGUCCGAAAUGCUUGUCUUAUCAGGACAAAUCCACCCUAUGUUGAUAUAUAUAUAUAUAUUCUACUUUCCAAUCAAAGUAAAUCACUGAUUAAUGGACUAUCAGCAGAUGAUAAAUGAAUUUAGAGAAAAUUUAAGGCAUCCUAAAUGUCCAUCGAAAAAGAGUAGUUCCAAGUGUCACAUUGGGGAAUAUAAUUGGGGAAUAUAUGGUGAGAACCUGUCACAUUGGGGAAAAGUAAAGUCUCACGAUCUAGCAUAUACAGUCAAAUACUUCUGGACCCACCCUCUUUCCAUAACAAUCUAUUAAAAAUUGAAACUUAAAAUUAAUUUUCAAAAAUUAGAUUAUCAAUAUUCUACCUAUGUAGAUUUAUCAUAAUAAUAAAUUUUAAUUUAAAUAAUUGAAAUGAAAUAGUGAUAAAUUUAAUGUUUAAAUGAUUAAAAAACAAAUAUAUAACCUAUAAGACAAGUAUAAAAACUAAUUUAAUUAAUUAAUUAAUUAUAAAAAGUAUAAAUAAUAAAGAAAUGUAAAAGAUAAUAAUAAAAUUUGAUAACGAAUUUUUAUUUAUUAUAUAUAUAUAUAUAUAUAUAUAUUAUUAAUAUGAUGAUUUUUCAUUUUUAUUUUUUGAGUUAGGUUUCUUUUUCGAUAUAUAGUUUUUUAUUUUAUUUUAUGUCUUUGUUAUUGUGUUAUCUCAGUUUCAAAAGAAAUGAAAAUUAUUUAUCCCACAACUUCAAAACUAAAAAUAUUAUAUAGAUUUAUUAAUUCCUUACAAAAUACAAGUACAGCCAACAUGCAAGCAAUCAGCAGAUGAUAAAGAAAAUUUAAGGCAUCGAGAGAAAGUCUGUUCUCACGAACAAUGUGAAAAGUCCCACUCUUUCUCACGAAAGCAUAUAUAGUCAAAUACUUCUGGAUCUUUCUCACGAACUAGCAAUACGUCUGGACCCACCCUCUUUGCAUAUCUCCAGCUACACCUGAAAAAGACUUGAAAAGAGCUCCUUAUAUAUAUAUAUAUUUAGACGUUUAAAAGAUCAAUGGCCAUCAGAAAAGAAACAAUCAAAAAAAAUUUCAUGAUUCAAUUAAUUUUCUUCUUUUUAUUUUUGUAUCAUGAAGUGUACAAACUUCACAUGGUUACAGCACACAUUAAGAGCCAAAGUAAUACACAGAAACGCAUAGAACUUGUCCAUGUUAUUCGUUGAACACAAACUCCAUCAAAAGAUGAAAAAUAGAAUACAGUUACUAAAGCUCAAAUGACCUGCAAAUCAGUUUAUUCAGAUGAAAACCACGACAAUAAACUACGUAUACUUGGAGCUGAUGGCUUGUAAAAAUGUCACUUGUGCAUGGUAGCCUUGACAGCCGGAGCGGUGGCAUGUGCUCUUGCAGGAGAUGCAGGUGGAUGUUUGCAAGGAGGGCCUUCAACGGGGGUUUUCCCACAUGGAUUUUGGCCAGAAGGAGGGACAGGACCCCUUUGCUGAACCCUAGCAGCAUUGUGUGGCUGGACACUCAGAAGAAAAACAAGGGCUAUGACAGUAAAAACAACGUUGAGAAACCUCAUGAUAGUCUUGGUGAUGAGGCAAACAGGACAGGAGAUGAACUAAAAAUAAAUUGGAUAUGUAGAUUAUAUGCGUAUGAAGAGGAGAUGGUGUUAGUUGUUAUUUAUAAGCAUGCAUAUCCAAUGUGAUCACUUGAAUUUUUAAUUGUUUGAUUUGUUUGAAGGGUUUGGAUUCUUGACUAAUAGGUUUUGGCACGAGAUGACUGGAAAUUGAAUGGUCAUAAAGGAGAAACUGCCCUUGAAUUACCUGAAUGCAUGGCAAAGUUUAAUUUCUCAUUUCAUUCUUACAUUCACACCAAGGGUUUACUUGAAUUGAUGAUGCUUGAAACUUUGGAGUUUGGUCAUAGUUCUGGAUGUUAAACUACUUUUUCUCACAACAUAUGGUCCUUGUUAUGAUGGAGGAAGCUUUCAUGUAAACAUCCUUAAUCAAGAAUACAAAGAUAAAAUAAUUAACACAAACGAUACAUGAGGUUUUAAUGUAGUUCGGCCAACCAUGCCCAUGUUUACAGAUGAGAGAAUUAUUUCACUAUAAAAUAAAGAACAUUACAGAGGACAUAACCAGAUACAAUUAUUGGGUUCCCAAAACAUCCCAUGUUUCUCCACUCUUCAUAUCCCUACCCUAUCACGAGUCUUCUUGCUCCACCGAGUACCUCCCAUUCUUCCUCACACCUCUAUUCACCUCAUAUAGUCUUUACAGUCUCAUCUUCAUCUCAUAAUUUUUUCUCCUUGCGACUUAGAAUAUUUAUAGAGAUAUUUCCAACAACCUUCCUUAUUCUAUUAGGAAGUCUAAUAUUACAAUAAUAUAUCAAUCCAAAAAUAUUCAAUAUAAUAUUUGUUACAAAAAAGAAAUCUAUACUAAUUAGAAAUUUGGGACACUUCUUAACAAUCUCCACUUUAGACCAAAUUCCAUGAAGUCAAUCUUCAAACUCUCCAUGACAUGGACUUUUUUGUAUUAUAUCACUACGAGAGAGCAAUCGACUCUACCUUCAUUGAAAAAUUCCUUUUGCCUUCAUCUUGUGUGCUUCGUGAUUUUUUAAUCUUCCAUAAAUCUUCAACCCAAUAUCUUAUACCAAUUUAUUAUGACAACGAAAGCUUUCAUGCAAACAUCGUUACUCAAGAACACAAACAUAAAACAAUAACACAUAUGAUACAUGAGUUUUUAAUAUAGUUCGACCAAGCAUGCUUAAGUCAACGGAUGAGAGAAAAUCAUUCCACUAUACAAUAAAAAACAUUACUAAGGACAGAAUCAGAACAUUACAAAGGACAUUACCAGAUACAAUUAUUGGCUUCUCAAAACAUCCCAUGUUUCUCUACUCUUCGUAUCCCUACCUUAUCAUGAGCUUCUCACUCCAUCGGGCAACUCUCGUUCUUCCUCAUAUUUUUAUUCACCUCGUAUAGUCUUUAUAGGCCCAUCUUCAUCUCAUAACUUUUUCUCCUCAUGACUUAUAAUAUUUAUAGAGAUAUUUCCAACAACCUUCCUUAUUCUAUAAGGAAGUCUAAUAUUACAAUAAUAUAUCAACCUAAAAAUAUUCUACAUAAUAUUCUCUACAAAAAAAAAAAGAAUCUAUACUAAUUAGGAAUUUGGGGACACUUCCUAACACUCCUAAUAAGAAUUGAUCAAUUCUAUGGACAUGAUUCCACUCAGAUGCACCAGCUUUAAUUUCCAUCAUCAAGACCUAAGCCACAAUGCUUGCCCUUUCAAAAUGGGCCAUCAUCUGGGUGUGUAUCUACAUAUACAUUCCAUUUUCACACCACCACAAAGCUUGUUUAUGAUUUUGUUUUCUUUUGUUCAAAUCUCUUGAGAAAAUGCAAGAAAAAUGUGUAUAAAACUUUUCUCCCUUUUUCCCCAAAGUCGCACGAUACAAGAGAUAAUUAGAUUGGUUGGAUGAUGGGUUUUGAUCAAUAUAUGUAUAUACAUUGACCAAGGGUGAAACUCAUAACACAUCAAACUAGGUCUACUAACAUGCAUGCUAAAUUAUCAAUAAAGUUCAAAAUAUUAAGUUGUAAUAAAUUUAUGCACCAAUGAUGAAUAUCAAGAUGCAUGAUCUAUACUCAUUAUUUUCAACAUACACAUGAAUUUAAAUUUUUUUAUUUUAUAUUAUUUAAAUAAAUAAAAAAAGCAUUCUAGCUAAAAGCUAAUCAUACAACACAAACAAUGCAAUAAGUGAGCAUUAAUUUGGCUCACGUUGUUGUGUUAUACACACACAAAUACCCAUGUUACAAGAUGAUAAGUUUGCCAUUACUAUUCAAAUAUUCCAAGUUUGAUAUAGCAAACACCAGGUAGAUUUUGUUUGACUUGGAUCAACAAUACGCAUGGUUUACAAAAAUUUCCUAUGCUCCUUGGACUUUCUACUCAUUUCUUGACUUUUCUUUGAGGACAAAUCAUAGUAACUAGCUUUUUUAAUCUAAACCUCUAAAAAUGAGUAUGAUUCAUAUAGAUUAGCAUGUCUAUUCGACUUGCAUCGGCAAAUAUUUGGUUUAUGAACAUUUGGAGAUGUUAAAAUGUAUAGUAUCUGUUGUGCCAGUGGAAGCUUUAUGCAAAUAAUGUUAGUUCAAGAACAUAAAAAUAAAAGAAUCCUCACAAGAUUACAUGAGAUUUUAACAGAAUUUGAAUAAUCAUGCAUUGAUCCUUAGCCCCUUGACAUUAAAACUAUCACAUCCUUACAAGGUCAAAAGAUUUGGGUUAGUAUGGGCCUCUCAACAGCCCAAUUGCUUUGAUUUCUUCUUCCCAUAUAUCCAUAAAAUAUAGAAUGAAAAUAUAGAAAAAAUAUAUAUGCAAAGACAACAAAAUCUGUUCAACCCAAAAGAAAAAAGAAAAAAGAAGACCUGCAUGCUUUAAAAUUUGAUUCACAAAUUUGAAAAGUUCAAUUACAGGGCAAAUCCAUUCUAUGAUAAUGUAUUCUACUUUCUAAUAAAAGUAAAUCACUAAUUAAUAGACUGUUGAGUUUCAGCCAUGCAAAAGAUCAUGAAGCAAAAAUUUGUUCAUGAUUCAACUUUCUUCUUUUUAUGUAUAUAUCAUGAAGUGUACAAACUUCACAUUGUUACAACACACAUCAAGAGCGAAAUUAAUACACAGAAUGCAUAGAACUUGUCUACGUUAUUCGUUUAAUAUAAACGUCAUCAAAAGAUGAAAACAGAAUAUAGAUACUAAAUCUAAAAUGACCUGCAAAUCAGUUUAUUCAGAUGACAAACACGACAAUGAACUAUGUAUACUGGGAUCUGAUGGCCUGUAAAAAUGUCACUUGUGCAUGGUAACCUUGACAGCCGGAGCGGUGGCAUGUGCUCUUGCAGGAGUUGCAGGCGGGUGUUUGCAAGGAGGGCCUCCAACGGGGGCUUUCUCACAUGGAUUUGGGUUAGAAGGAGUGACCGGUCCCAUCUGCUGAGGACUUUCUGAAAGACCACGUCUUUUCUCUAUCAAGUACUCACGGUUCACUCCUUCAAGAACCCUAGUAGCAUUGUGUGGUUGAACACUCAGAAGAAAUGCAAGUGCUAUGACACUCAAAACAACGUUGAGAAACCUCAUGAUAGUCUUGGUGGUGAGGCAAACAGGCUAGGAGAUGUAAUCGAUUUGAUAUGUGGAUGAUAUGCAUAUGUAGAGGAGAUGGUGUUAUUCGUUAUUUAUAUGCAUGCAUAUCCAAUGGUAUCACUUGGACUUUACAUUAUUUGAUUUGUUUGAAGGGUUUGAUUCUUGACUAUAAGGUUUUGCCACGAGGUGACCAGAAAUUGAAUGGUCAUAAAGGAGAAACUGUCUUUGAAUUACCUGAAUGGCAAAGUUUAAUUUAUCAUUUCAUUUUACAUUCACACCAAGGGACGACAGUUGUUUAAUGGAGGCUUGCGUUUUGAGAUUACUGUACUACAGUGGCCAAUCUGCGGAUCGUGGUUUGCACAGUACCGUGUUUUUUAUUAUACCAUUAUUUUGUUCCUAUCUGGAACAAAGUAUAAAGUUUUGAUAGGGACGUGUUUACUUGAAUUGAGGCUUGAAAUUUUGGGAAUUGGUCAGAGAGUUUUGGAUGUUAAGCUGCUUUUUCUCGUAACAUACACUGCUAAUAAAGAAUUGAUCAACUCUUUGCAGAUCAUUCGGCUCGAAUGCACCGACCUUUCCAUUAUCAUCAAGACCUAAGACGCAGUGCGUGUCCAUUCAAAAUGGGGCAUCAUCCGGGGUGUAUAUGCAUAUGCAUACCAUUUCCACACCACCACAAAGCUUGUUUAUGAUCUUGUUUUCUUCUGUUCAAAUCUCUUGAGAAAAUGCAAGAAAAAUCCAUAUAAAACUUUUCUCCCUUUUUCCCCAAAGGCACAUGAUAAAAGUGUUAAUUGGGUUGGUUAAGUGAUGGGUUCUCAAUAUAUGUACAUACAUAUGGUUCAACAUCAUAGUCUCGGUCAUUAACUUACGAGGUCUUGAGGCACAUCGGUGUUGGUAUCUCUGAUUAGUAUCGGAUGACAGACAAAAUGUAUAUAAUUAAAUGUACUUUUUAUAAAAUUUUAAGUUUAAUUAAAUUUAAUAUUAUUUAAAUACACAUAAAAAUAUGUUUAUUAUUUUUUAAUAUUAAAAGUCUUUUAUUUAAUAUCUUUAUAUUAAAUUUAUUUAAUAAUACAAAUUUUCAAUUGUUAAUAUUGAUACAAGUAAUUAUUAAUUUUUUUAGUAAUAUGUUAUUUAAUCAAAUUUAAUUUAUACAUCUAUUAAAUAAGUUAGUAAUUUUUUAAAAUAUAAUUAAAUUAAAUUGUUAUAAUUUAUAUUUACAUUUCAAUUUAUUUCAUUAUAUUCAUUGCCCAUGAUAUAAAUACUACUAUAUUCAUUACCCAUUUUAUAAAUACCCUAACACACAUUGGUAAACACAUUACCUCAUUACCCAAGACCCAUUUCUUCAUCCUCCCCUUCCUCUUCUUCUCUUUCAAACCUUUUUUAUUUUCCUUUAUUUGCAACUGAGUGAAUGGGAAUAAAGCCAUCGUCCCAGUCCUCUUCUUCUCUUUCAAACCAUUUUUUUUUCUUUAUUCUCUUUCAAACCCAUUUUUUUUCCAACUAGGUGAAUGAGAAUAAAACCAUUCUCCUCGUACUCUUCUUCUUUGUCAAACCUUUUUUUUCUUUCUUUGCAAUUAGGUGAAUGAUAAUAAAACAAUCUGCAAUUGAUUCUCCUUAAGGCUCAAUUUCUAGGCUGCUUCUCAUUUCAAAUUGAUCUAGACCAUCUUCGAGUCAAACUCAAAUAUCGGUUUCGUAGUAGGCUUGCCUAUGGCGGAUACGCCUUGGCUAAGUCAUAUUUGUCUCGUUCAAUACUUUGGAACUUUGUAUAUGCCUUAAUCGAGGGUGAAAUUCAUGACAUAUAAAACUAGGUCUACUAACAUGCAUGUUAAAUUAUCAAUAAUGUGCAAAAUAUUAAUUUGUUAAUUUAUGCACCAAUGAUAAAUAUCAAGAUGCAUGAUCUAUACUCAAAGUAAUCAAAGACCAAGGAAGGUACAUAGUAAUUUUUUAUAUGGAAAACCCUCACAUUAAUUGUGGAGACAAAAAAAACCAUGAGGCUUAAGACCUCUAAUCUACAAUUCACUAUUUGAGAUCAAAGUACACAAAUUUACCUGACCGUUUUACCCUAAGGACUUACUCUUCAACACCUAUACUUUGAUUCACAUCUACGAUAUGCGUAUGUAAUCACUUGGAUUACAAGUAAUUAUUUUUUUUUAGUAAUAUGUUAUCUAAUAAAUUUUAAUUUAUACAUCUUAUUUAAUUGUAUUAAAAAAAGUUAAUAAUUUAUUUAAAAUAUAAUUAAAUUAAAAUUUUAUAAUUUAUAUUUACAAUUCUAUUUAUUUCAUUAUAUUCAUUACCCAUGAUAUAAAUACCACUAUAUUCAUUUCCCAUUUUAUAAAUACCCUAUCACCCAUGGAUAAAUCCAUUAGCUUAUUACCCAAGACCCAUUUCUUCAUCCUCACUGUCCUCUUCUUCUCUUUCAAACCCUUUUUUUUUUUCUUUCUUUGCAAUAGGAUGAAUGGGAAUAAAACCAUCCUCCACAUCCUCUUCUUCUUGUUCAAACCCAUUUUUUUAUCCAAUUAGAUGAAUGAGGAUAAAAUCAUCCUCCCCAUCCUCUUCUUCUCAGUCAAACCUUUUUUUUCUUUCUCUACAAAUAGGUGAAUGAAAUUAAAACCAUUUGUGAUUGAUUCUCCUCAACUCAAGUUCUAGGUUGCUUCUCAUUUUGAAUCGAUUCACACCAUCUUCGAGUCAAACUCAAAUAUCGAUUUCAUAGGGGGCUUGCCCAAGGCGGAUACGACUUGGCUGAGUUGUACUUGUCUCAGCCAAUACUUUGGACCUUGUAUAUACCUUAACCGAGGGUGAAAUUCAUAGCUUAUAAAACUAGGUCUACUAACAUGCACGUUAAAUUAUCAAUAAAGUUCAAAAUAAUAAAUUGUUAAUUUAUGCACCAAUGGUGAAUAUCAAGAUACAUGAUCCAUACUCAAACUAAUCAAAUAUCAAGAUACACAGUAAUUUUUUAUGUGGAAAACUCUCAAAUUAAUUAUGGUGAUAAAAAACCAUGGGGCUUAAGACCUCUAAUUUACAAUUCACUAUUUGAGAUUAAAUUAAGUACACAAAUUUACAUGAUCGUUUUACUCUAAAGACUUACUAUUUAGCACCUAUACUUCGAUCCACAUAUGCAAUGUAGUACCUCCAAUACUUCAGUGGAUUCCUCUCAACUUUUAAGGGGAUACAAAUCCUUCUAACAAAACCUAGAAUUCAAUCUUGUAAAUUCUUUCUUGAGAAAUUGGGAAUAAUAGGGCAAGUUGGUUGAUUCUGAAAGUGUCCAACCCAAAAACAUAUUUAGGUAAGGUAUAUGCCUAUGACCCUAGAGAGUUAGAAACAAAAUUUUCUUAAAAAGUAAAAUGUCAACUUUCCAAAAAUUAAUUAACAAAAGAAUUUAAUUUAAAAAAAUUAUCAACUUUAUAAAAAUUAAUUAAAAAUAAAAUAUCAACUUCCCAAAAAUUAUUAAAAAUAAUUUUCUAAAAAAAGAAAAAAAAACGCCGACUUUCUAAAAAUUAAUUAAAAAUAAAAUCUCAAAGUUGCCAAUAAUUAAAGAAGACAUUUUAAUUCAAUUUUAAAACUUCCAAAAAAAUUAAUUUGCCUUUAACAAAAUCUUUCAAACUUAUUUGUGACUACCCGGUUGAACACACAAUAGCCUUGAAUCUUUAAUAGAGGGUAAGUUAUUAUCUAAAAUGAUUUCUAAUCCAUAAUGAAAAUAAAUAAAAUUGUCAAUACAUAAAAAUGUCCUAAUACCAUGAGAAACAAAAAUGACGAAAAAGGAAACAACAUAUUUAUUAGGUAUGCAAUAAUGCUUCUAAUUUUGGGAUGAGUAUGUAAGAUCAGAGAUCUAUGAUAAGUAGUAGGAUGAAUACGAAUGGAUGACAUCAAGCCACAUAAAGAGAAUUAACUUAAUCUCACUGAUAGUUAAUUGGUUUUAAAAUGAGAUGGUUAAGUUUUUUUAUUAUAACAAGUAGUAUUGGAGCUAUGUUUUAAGGUUGGAGUUGCAAAAGCCUCAUGUUGGAGGAAGGGUUAUUAGGUAUGCAACAAUGCUGCUCCAUGAAAAAAAUCACCUUGGGAUGAGUGUUUAAUGCUAGAGAUGGUUACACACCACUAUAAGCCUCGAAAUAAGUAUAGUCAAUUGGUUUUUUUUAUGAGAUAACUCUACGAUCCUAACAAGAUUUUAAUUUCAUAGAUAUUUUUAUAAAGGAAUUUAUAAAUGGCAUAACCAUUUCAAGAAACUCACUGAAGUGGACAAUUGAAAUUUAAGUAUAGACCUUCCAUUUUGCCUUCCUAGCACAUGUCCUAUUAGGUUUUUGUUUGGUAUUUUAUAGCAAUUCCCUGAUGACCCAUUACUACUCAUGUAACUUAUCUUUUCUAAGCCACCUUCGAGACUUUGGUUGAGAGGGUUUAUCCAGCUCCUCGUUAUGACCUUAGUUGCCCUUUGAGUUUAGAUUAGGCUUCACUUAGGUGCACUUUAGGUUAACACUCAUUGGGCCCACCUAGGUCACUUAGACUCACUUAGCACACUCGACCCAUUAGGCACCACGUUAGGCCCAUCUGGGUUCACUUAAACCCAUUUAGACACCUUAGGCUUGUCUAGCACUUAGGCUCACUUAGCGCACUCAACCCAUUAGGCACCGCCUAGAUUCACUUAGGCCCAUUUAGGUAUGCUUGGCCCAUUAGGCACCGCUUUAGGUCCACCUAGGUAUACUUGGCCAAUGAGGCACCGCCUUAGGCACACCUAGAUCACUUGGGUCACCUAGGCACACUUGGCCCAUUAGACAUUCUUAGUGUGACUUGUAUGACUCACAUGGUUGCAUGGUUUGCAUGACUCAUGUUUCUUAUUUACUUAUUUAUAUAUUUAUUUAUUUAUAUUAUUAUUAUCAAUCACUUUUAUUUAUUCAUUUAUUUUAUUUAUUUAUUUUUAUUAGUAUCAAUCACUUUUAUUUAUUUAGUUAUUUAUUAUUAUUAUUAUUUAUUUAUUUAUUAUCUUGCUAUAACUAUUAUUAUUUUAUCAUUCUCUAAAUUUUUUAUUCAUUUAUUUGAUUUAAUAAUUUGAUAUAUUUUUUUAGGGAAAUCAACGGAUAAGAAGAGUUGAUUCUUGUAAGACUUUGAGAAGGAAGGAAACUCUUUUGGACAUUAUUGAAGAUCACCGGAAAGUUAAAAUAGGGACAUUAUGAUCUUGUUUUCUUCUGUUCAAAUCUCUUGAUAAAAUGUUAAAAAAAUGCAUAUAAUGCUUUUCUUCUGUUUAUCCUGCUAUCCUCCUUGAGCCUGUAAUUAAUUUUCAAAUUGAGUGUUUAGGUUUUGGAAAAUCUUAUGACUAAGAGCAUAACAUUGAGUGACAGUGAAAAAUUUUCUAUUAAAAGAGUUCAUUCAAUUUUGUACUCAUCUCUUUUUCUGAUUCUAUAUUUGUUGGAGUAAAAUCCAAUAUUGUUCUUAAUUAGGCAUCAAGAAGUUAAGAUUGUUCUAAAAAGGUGGUUUCAAAGAGUUUCCAUGUGAAAGUAUGUAGCCGAAGAUUGGGAAGUGUGAAUUGGGAAUGAUAAAAUUAAUUUGCUGAGUCAUCUCCAUACUUAAAAUACACCUAUUGUUCACCCUCAAGGUCAUGGUUGAAAGUAUCAUACGCAAGUACAUGGCUGCUACAACUCUAAGAUAUAUGAGUCAGUGGUGUACAUGCAUUUCAAUAAUAACUAGGUUCCGACUAGAAAAUAAUUGGCCUUACAUAACCAAAUCAUAAGAUAAGUUGGAAUUAGGUCUCCACAACUCGAAGCUAUAAAAAUGGAAGGAAAAAAAACAAAAUAAUCUCUACAUUUUUCAGAGAUUUCCUUAUCAAUCAAGGAAAAAUGUCUCCAUAAUUAGUAACUAGUAAGGACGUUAAAUUGAUUUUUUUAAAAUUAAUAAUUCACUUGUUAUCCCAAUUAUAAAAAAAUUGGUAUUACCCAUAAAAAUAGGUGGCCAUGGUAAUAUUUUAAGAUUUUUUCAAUUUUUAAAAUUAUUAUAAAUUAAUUGAAAAUAACUUCAAAUGUUAUAGAUUUUAUUUUAUUUUUAUUAUUUUUUUGAACUCAUCUAAUUAUAAUUAUUAAAUUUUUCCUUAUUUUUUCAGAAUUUUUUUAACUUUUUUAUUCUCAACUAUUAUAUUGUCUACAUAUUUUUUAAUUAAGAUAAUGUGCAUGCCAUGCUAAAUGCUUAAUGAAGCACGCAUCAAAGUCUCAAAAGGCAAAAAUUGAUAAAUCGAACUAACAAGUGUUGAGCAUUCAACAAACCAAAGAGAUCCCAAGAGCUACUAAAAUCAAGGACAGCUCAUCAAAGCAAAAUAUUAAGCAUAAUUCAUCAUCUUCUGAGCAAAAGAUAAUUAUUGUAAAGAAAAUGCUAAGGUAUUGCAUUAAUACCUAUCGAAGUUCACAUUUGGGCCAUUGAAUAUGUAUGAUGAAAUUUAAACUGCUAAAUCAGGGAACAAGUAAAUGAGACCUAACUAUAAGGGUGCAAACAAAUAAGACUAUAUUACAAAAAAUGAGACUUAUAUAUGUAUAUAUGACUAUGCCUAAUUCAUGGUGCCUUUUUGAUAUCUAACAAAAAAGUAUCAUUUUGUAUUGUCUAUGAUCCUUAUUAUAAAAGUUUAUUUGACUAUCAUAAGAGUGUUUAGUACCUCAUCCAAAAAUUCUUUGUAGUCCAUUGAAUGAUGGUACAAGUAAAUGAGACCAAAGGAUAAAGAUACAAACAAAUGAAACUAUGUUACAAAUAAUGAGACUUGUGUAUACAUGACACCACCUGAUUAGUGAUACUUUUUCUAUACUUACCGAAUGAAGUAUCAUUCCAUAUUCUCAAUGACCUUUACUAUAAAAGUGGGUUUGACCAUCAUAUCAGAGUAUUCAAUACCUCAUCCACAAACCCUUUGUAGCCUAUACAGUGAGAGCAUGUAUUUACACCUUGAACUACGAGCUCUCUCGCUCCACUGAGUGUCUCCCAUUCUCUCUCAUCCCUAUCCAUCAUGUAUAAUCUUUACAAGCCCAUCUCCAUCUAUAACUUUUUCCCCUUAUAACCUAGAAUAUUUAUAGAGAUAUUCUUUUCCUUAUUCUAUUAGGAAAUCCAAUAUUACAAUAAAAAAAUCAAUUUAGGAAAUAUUAUAUACAAUGUUCUAUACAAAAAGGAAUCUAUACUAAUUAAAAAUUUGAAACACUUUUUAACAAUCUCCGUCUUGGCUCAAAUUCCAUUAAAUCAAUCUUCCAUCUUUCCAUGACACACUUUUUGUAUCACAUUUGAUGAAAUAACAAUCGACUUUACCUUCAAUUAAAAUUCCUUGUCAUACUCUUGUGUGUUUUGUUAUCUUUUACUCUUCUAAAAAUCUUCAUUGUGAGCUCUAGCUAAUACCAGUUUGUUGUGUAAGUGGAAGCUCUAAUGCAAACAAUGUUAGUUCAAAAACACAAAGAUAAACAAUCCACACAAAGAUACACAGGGUUUUAAUGUGGUUCGACCAACACAACCUAAUUCAUGGAUGAGAGAAAAGUAUUACACUACAUUAUAGAGAAUAUUAUAGAAAAUGUAAAUAGAUACACUGUUGGUUUCACGAAACAUCUCAUGUUUCCCCACUUCUUAUAUAAAACCUUGAACCAUAGGCUCCUUGCUCCUGUGAAUGUUUUUCAUUCUUCCUCACAUCUCUAUCCACCUCAUAUAGUCUGUACGAGUCCUUCUCCAUUUCAUAACCUUUUCUUCUCAUGACCUAUAAUAUAUAUAGAGAUAUUCUUAAUAACUUUUCUUAUUCUAUAAGGAAAUCUAAUAUUAUAAUAAGAAGUCAAUUUUAAAAAUAUUCUAUAUAAUAAUCUUUACAAAAAGGAAUCUAUAUUAGGAAUUUGGGAUACUUUCCAACAAAAAUAAUUUGAGGACACAAUAAACAAAAAAAACAACUAGUCUAGUAGUUGCCAUUUGCAUCCCCUUCUAGUGGGAUCUAGUCAUGUUAGCCAGUAAGAUGGGAUGGAACAAGCCACAAAGGUGGACAUAGGUGGGCCCAUACCCAAGGAAAAAGAUAGGUUUUCAACUAAAAAGACCAGUAUGAUUCCUAAAAAACUUACCGGUCCACCAGUUUAGACAAUUCAAUCGACGGUUCAUGUGAGUUUGCCCUAAUUCAAUGCCUAGAACAAUCUGCUUUUAAAAAUCAUGCCUUUAAGAUAAAAUUUUGAUAUUCCCAAAAAUCGGAUAACCUAGAGACUUAUAUUUAUUGUAAAUAUAGGUUGGUCUAAGCCUCACAGUUGUAUCAAAAAACGAGACGACCCACAACUCUAUUGGGUUGAAUGAAUGAAUUGCAUAUCUUUAAAGCCAAUAGACAAUAAAUUUUUCAUGCAUUUCAUGGUUGCAAAUUAUAUAUGUCACAAUUGAUGAUAUUUAUCCUUAAAUUAUAUUGUAUAAAAAUCAUCUUGAUAAUAGAGAUUAUAAACAAUGAGAUAUGAUUUCUAAUUUCUUUAUAAUCUUAAAAUAUGUUUACAACUUAUAAGCUUGUAAUGGAUAACAUGCUUAUUAAAAGCUAUAAUGAAGUGUACUACUAUAUAUGAUAGAGUGAUGGAUCUUAUUCACUAAAGUUGAGGGGCUCUUAAUAAAUUUCAUGGGUGAUUAUAAUGUGAUGAUCACAAAACUGUACCAUUACAAGACAAUUUUUGGACCUCUUAUUAUUUAUUUUGUUUAAUAUUACAUAAAAUCCUUAGACUUAAGGAUGUUACUAAGUUUUGUACUUGAUUUUGUAUAGCUUUGAUAUUAUCAACUGUUGAUGUCUAAUAAUGGAUUAUAUACGAAUUUGUUGGGUUUUAUAAAUAAUAUAUAAAAACUAGUGGAUAUUUGAUAAAGGACCCAUUGCUUCUAUAGUAGGAAAGAAUAUUUAAGAUUGUGUCACUCAUAAAUUGUUUUAAAAUACCGACCAGUCAAUUUAGAAAGAUUUUUUUUUAAGUGUAUAUAUCUAUUUAGUAUAUAUGUCAUAUAUUAAGAUUUUCUAAAUUGGUUUUUCUAAAAGGUCCAAUUGUAAGAGGUGACACACUUAUAAGUUUAGGGAAUGACAAUUAUCUUGAUCCAACUUCAAAACUUGUAAGGAAUAUUAGUUAGUGGAAGAAUUAAUGUGUAAGUGAGGAACUUACUAAUCUAUCUCUCUUUUUUUUUUUGGGUGAAAUUGUAAUUUGUUUUAAAUAUGAUUGCAAUUGACAAGUUCAUUUGGAAUAAACUUACUAGAGAUGUAGAGAUCCCACAAAGGCCCUAUGCUACGUGAGGGGCUCUCUUUAAUAGAAUAUAUAAUUUCUUGCUACGGAGCCCGCAAGGGGGUUGUAGAUAUUGCUGUACGAACAUAUGUUGGAUAUCUCACGCAUAGACUUGUUGAAGUAGUUCAACACAUUGUUGUACUUAGAACAGAUUGUGGCACUAUCCGAGGUAUUUUUGUGAGUCCUCGAAAUGGGAUGAUACCGAAAAGAAUUUUUAUUCAAACAUUAAUUGGUCGUGUAUUAGCAGAUGAUAUAUAUAUGGGCCCACGAUGCAUCGCCAUUCGAAAUCAAGAUAUUGGGAUUGGGCUUGUCAAUCGAUUCAUAACCUUUCAAGCACAUACAAUAUCGAUUCGAACCCCCUUUACUUGUAAGAGCACAUCUUGGAUCUGUCGACUAUGUUAUGGUCGGAGUCCUACUCAUGGCAACCUGGUCGAAUUGGGAGAAGCUGUAGGUAUUAUUGCGGGGCAAUCUAUUGGAGAACCGGGUACUCAACUAACAUUAAGAACUUUUCAUACCAGCGGAGUAUUCAUUGGGGGUAUAGGUAUUCGUGCUUGGAUGGCAACUCAAGAUCAGCCUCAUGAAAACCUUAUAUUCCCUGAGAAGGUUCUACCCCGUGGAAACGCUCUUUAAUGGAACUUUAGCUUUAGCUGGUCGUGACCAAGAAACCACCAGUUUCGCUUGGUGGG
Molecule: long non-coding RNA, 48026 nt
Filed under: Vitis vinifera (wine grape)
Lineage: Eukaryota; Viridiplantae; Streptophyta; Magnoliopsida; Vitales; Vitaceae
Description: long non-coding RNA (VVIN_LNC004970)
Rfam family: Bacterial small subunit ribosomal RNA (bases 519-629)
Source: RNAcentral